UUAGUGCGCACAAUGUCAAAAUCACAGUCAUGUGAAGACCUAUGUCUUCACAAAAAAGCAAGUCAAUGGAAAAAAGCUAGCCUUUCACUCCAUAUCCAGAGUUUGAAGCCUUCUUAGCAGUGACGUCUAUUUAGUGCUCUUCAAAGUCUGUAACAGAGGGUACAGACAGAAAGAGAUGAGGCCUAACGUAAGUAUUGAAUUCCUCUGGUGGCUCUCUUUAACUAUCCUGCUGGUUUCUGUGAUCACAUCUACUUCUACAGCUGCCUUUCUUGAAAGCAACUCGAGCCCCAUUUUCAAUGCCACAAUCGGUGAAGGUAAUGAAGAGGAGUUCUCUAUGGAAUCUGAAGUGCAUCAGAGACUGCUGGCCUAUCCGGGUAAUCAUAUUAACUAUAAGACUUUAGAACGACAACAAGUUUGCAAUGCACAAAUGUAUGGCAGCUGUGUAAAACCGAUCAAUCGUGACUCUCGGCCUUGCACUUACUACAAUCGGUGCAAACGUGGUAGUUGAUCGAGGAAGAGGGGACAAAGGGGUCAGUUCUUUAUCUGUCUGCGUGGGUUUCGAUUUGAAUAGCCACCCAUAAAGCGCAAGGUGAACCAGUCCGUCUAUGUGAGCUCCACCAAGAUGGGUGGAUCAGUUUGCUCUUCGUGUAGGGUGACUGUCUGAAUCUUUCUUUUUUCUUUCUACUCAUGCUUCCGAUGAGUAUAACAAUAAAAUUUGAAUGUACUUUAUGAUGAUUUAUAAUUGAAGAAAAUAGCAAGCAAUUGCUUUGUCGAUACGAUGUCUAGUGAUUGUCUUUCUCGUGCACUAAUUAAUGGCGAAGCUUCCUCAUUAAUCUAUUGCAAGCUAUGAAGUUGAAAAACAGAUCUUGGAAUGUUCACAGGUUUGCUUAAGGUGUCCUGUUUGUACAAGAUAAGAACAUCUGCUAGACCUGUUCAUUGUAGAGGACUUGGAUUUUCCUUAGGAUUGAAGUAAUUUCAGCAUGAUAUUUUCAACAAUGAAACUCAAUUUCAUUUCAUUUAUUAUUCCAAUUAUUUUUCAUCCACCGAGAACUCCAUUCAGUUCCCCCUCAUGUAUGGAAAUCAAGCUUAACAGGAUGAUAGAGAACAAAUUGCCAUCUGCAGGGAAGAGAGGACAGCUUGCCUCUUCUUUACUAGUGCUAUUGAUUUCAUUCGGCACCAAGUAUGUCGAGAGGUAAAUCCAUUAUUCUUCGAUUAAUGGGAAGAAAGAUUUAUCAUUAACCAAGUUUUGUAAGCGAUUACUAUACCAGAUGAUAAGAUUUUUGGUUAUAAGCUCAGCCCAAAAAGGCACACUCAUGAACCAAAAAGGAAUAGGUCGAUCCUUUGAGCCUCCUAUUAGUUCCUGUGUAAAAUUAUAUAUAUAUAUAAAAACCAAAAACAAGAGCAUUUUAUCAGUAAGACAUCAUUGAAGAACAAUAAUAGAAAGGAGUAAAUGAGACCACGGAUCUGAGGCGAGUAAAAGAGCUACUCAUGAGGAACAAGAACGAUUUUUCUUAUUGAAGACUGAAGCAAGACCAACCUAUAAUGAAGAUGUGUGUGUAUUGGAAAGAAGACAUCGGUGAGGAUUAUACAGACCUUACACUUGCGACAAUCAUUGUAACAAGGCGGUGACCAUAAGGAAAAAGAAGCUUUGCACCUUUUGAAGCCUAAUCUCGGAGCUGUGAUUACUGCAUUUGUUAUGGUGAACACCAACCUGAAAUACAUUCAAACUCGUUAAGAAUAUUAAUCAAAUAAGAAAUUAAGUGGUGUGUGUGAUCUUAAUCCAACCAUUAACAUGUUAAGGAAAAAAGAAAAUCAAAAUAAGUUUCAUAGAAACCGAGUACUUUCAAGUCAAUACUAAUAUCAACAAAAUGGCAACUAGUGUGUUGAAAUUAGACUAUUCAUGGCGUCUUUAUUGCAGAAUUCAGAACCACACAAUGGAAAGCAGCCAUCCAAAGAUGACCAAGUACAGCGACCACUAUGUCCCACUAGCCAUAUCGUCGAAUUUUCUUCUCCGCCGGGCUUCAAAUAUAUUAUUGGAUUAUUCUCAACUUGAGCAAAUAUGCUACUGUAUGGAGACAAAAACACCAUUGAUCAUCUUCCCUUAAAUCAAAAUCUUUGCAUUUAAUGCAUAUGUUUUCUUACUCCAAUUUAUUCCACAAAAGAAAUAGCAUAAUGUUCAUCUCCAUCGCGCUCUACCUUCUCCCUCCCCUCCAUCUCUUCCUCUACGUUACUGCUACUACAGAUUACUUGCAGCGAUACAGUCCCACUGAUCUAAUACUCCUUAACUGUGGUGCAUCCUCUAAUUUGUCAUCUCCUGAUGGUCGUGGUUGGGAUGGUGAUUCCCAGUCUAAGUUUGCUGCCUCUAACCCCCCAGAAGCCUCAUCUGUGUUUGAAGCCUCCAAUCAAGACCCCUCUGUCAACCAAGUCCCAUACAUGACAGCCCGUAUUUUUCACUCUAAAUUCACUUACACAUUUCCAGUCUUGCCUGGCCCAAAAUUUUUGCGUCUCUACUUUUAUCCAGCUUCUUACUCAAAUCUUGAUAUAUCCACAUCCUAUUUCUCGCUUAGUGCCAAUAACUACGACCUACUAAACAACUUUAGUGCCUCUCUUACAGUUUCUGCUAUAAGACCUCCAGUUGACUACUUCACCAAAGAGUUCAUCAUGACCGUGUGGGACAACCAGAAGCUUGAAUUUGUAAAGAUAUCAACGGUCCUAAAGAUGCCAAGUGUCAGAAGAUUAGCAAUUAAUAUUGUUAGCAUUCUGUUAGUAGUGUUUGUUAGUAAAAGAGAAUUUGUUAGCAUUAUAUUGAGUGUAAAAGAAAGCAUAUUCUCCGUGCAGUAUCUUCCAAUACUGCAUGUAUAAAGUGAGAAAUAGUAAUGUAAACAGUUAAGCAAAAGCAAAUAAUAAAACAGUGCUAUAAUUUCGUCUUCUGCUUCUCUGUGCAUAACAGAUUCAUUCAUUCUCUGUUCUUCACUCUCUGCUUCUUUUCUUCAUUUCCAUUUCAUUUCUAUAUAAAUGUUACUGUCUUUCAUGGUAUCAGAGCUUCCACUCCUCCGCAAAUAACACAUCAAUCUUGGAAGGAUCCGUAGUUGCACUCAUCACAAACUCACACAAGUGUGCAAGGAUGUAUAUAGGAAUCGCAGAUUACACAUUUUCCAUCACACUUCUCACAAAGGCGUCCAAUAGCAAUUCCUGGUUGCUUCCAGCACAUAAUCAAAUCAGGAUGAUGCUUGGUCAUGAUCUCUUCAAGAUCUUAGUGUUCCUACGUGCACCUGCUGGAAUCGAUUUGAGACUCUGUUCCUUCUCUUUCAGCAGAGAGAGAGGGAAACCUGGAGAAACUUCUGCACUCUAUGAUUUUUUUAUUUAUUUAUUUAUUUUUUUUACUCUUGUUUCUGAUUCUGGCUUCUUUCUCAUCUUAUUCAUGAAAUUCUUCUAUGUUUGCUGUUGUGUCUAUUAUCUGUUUGAUAUAUUGUCAAACUGAAACUUCUUCUUCAAAUCUUCAACUUUCUGCAAGAUUCUUCCUUCUCAAUCUUUGAUUCUCUUCUUUUCUAUCUCUUGCACUCUAAAAAUACGACUACUUCUCACCUUCAGAUUGUUCAACUCUAAUAAGAGAAUAUACACAUAAACGUUUUCUUCUUCCCCUGCACUGCAGAAUUUCUCUCUGCUUCUCUUCAUCUCUAUUCUAAUAUACACAUAAACGUUUUCUUCUUCCUCUGCACUGCAGAAUUUCUCUCUACUUCUCCUCAUCUCUAUUCUCUGCUUUUCUUCUCUUCAUCUCUAUUCUCUGCUUUUCUUCAUCUCUAUUGCAGUAUCUCCCUCUAAUUCUAUUCACUUCUCUGUUCCUCUCUGUGACGUUUCUUGCUAGCUUUUCAAAAUAUCUCUGCUAUCUCCCUUGCUUCCAAUCCAGUGUUCCACAUCUCCAGAUUGAUUAUCAUUUUGUUAGGGAACGGGUUAUCACGGAUGAUUUCCUGGUCCAGCAUGUCUCCUCUACUGAUAUAUCCUCACCAAAGGUCUUUUCAUUUCUUUGUUUCAGCAUCAUUGCUCCAAUCUCAUGCUUGGCUCCUCCCAGCAUGCGCUUGAGGGGGCAUGUAAAGAUAUCAACGGUCCUAAUGAUGCCAAGUGUCAGAAGAUUAGCAAUUAAUAUUGUUAGCAUUCUGUUAGUAGUGUUUGUUAGUAAAAGAGAAUUUGUUAGCAUUAUAUUGAGUGUAAAAGAAAGCAUAUUCUCCGUGCAGUAUCUUCCAAUACUGCAUGUAUAAAGUGAGAAAUAGUAAUGUAAACAGUUAAGCAAAAGCAAAUAAUAAAACAGUGCUAUAAUUUCGUCUUCUGCUUCUCUGUGCAUAACAGAUUCAUUCAUUCUCUGUUCUUCACUCUCUGCUUCUUUUCUUCAUUUCCAUUUCAUUUCUAUAUAAAUGUUACUGUCUUUCAUGGUAUCAGAGCUUCCACUCCUCCGCAAAUAACACAUCAAUCUUGGAAGGAUCCGUAGUUGCACUCAUCACAAACUCACACAAGUGUGCAAGGAUGUAUAUAGGAAUCGCAGAUUACACAUUUUCCAUCACACUUCUCACAAAGGCGUCCAAUAGCAAUUCCUGGUUGCUUCCAGCACAUAAUCAAAUCAGGAUGAUGCUUGGUCAUGAUCUCUUCAAGAUCUUAGUGUUCCUACGUGCACCUGUUGGAAUCGAUUUGAGACUCUGUUCCUUCUCUUUCAGCAGAGAGAGAGGGAAACCUGGAGAAACUUCUGCACUCUAUGAUUUUUUUAUUUAUUUUUUUUUUUUUUUACUCUUGUUUCUGAUUCUGGCUUCUUUCUCAUCUUAUUCAUGAAAUUCUUCUAUGUUUGCUGUUGUGUCUAUUAUCUGUUUGAUAUAUUGUCAAACUGAAACUUCUUCUUCAAAUCUUCAACUUUCUGCAAGAUUCUUCCUUCUCAAUCUUUGAUUCUCUUCUUUUCUAUCUCUUGCACUCUAAAAAUACGACUACUUCUCACCUUCAGAUUGUUCAACUCUAAUAAGAGAAUAUACACAUAAACGUUUUCUUCUUCCCCUGCACUGCAGAAUUUCUCUCUGCUUCUCUUCAUCUCUAUUCUAAUAUACACAUAAACGUUUUCUUCUUCCUCUGCACUGCAGAAUUUCUCUCUACUUCUCCUCAUCUCUAUUCUCUGCUUUUCUUCUCUUCAUCUCUAUUCUCUGCUUUUCUUCAUCUCUAUUGCAGUAUCUCCCUCUAAUUCUAUUCACUUCUCUGUUCCUCUCUGUGACGUUUCUUGCUAGCUUUUCAAAAUAUCUCUGCUAUCUCCCUUGCUUCCAAUCCAGUGUUCCACAUCUCCAGAUUGAUUAUCAUUUUGUUAGGGAACGGGUUAUCACGGAUGAUUUCCUGGUCCAGCAUGUCUCCUCUACUGAUAUAUCCUCACCAAAGGUCUUUUCAUUUCUUUGUUUCAGCAUCAUUGCUCCAAUCUCAUGCUUGGCUCCUCCCAGCAUGCGCUUGAGGGGGCAUGUAAAGAUAUCAACGGUCCUAAUGAUGCCAAGUGUCAGAAGAUUAGCAAUUAAUAUUGUUAGCAUUCUGUUAGUAGUGUUUGUUAGUAAAAGAGAAUUUGUUAGCAUUAUAUUGAGUGUAAAAGAAAGCAUAUUCUCCGUGCAGUAUCUUCCAAUACUGCAUAUAUAAAGUGAGAAAUAGUAAUGUAAACAGUUAAGCAAAAGCAAAUAAUAAAACAGUGCUAUAAUUUCGUCUUCUGCUUCUCUGUGCAUAACAGAUUCAUUCAUUCUCUGUUCUUCACUCUCUGCUUCUUUUCUUCAUUUCCAUUUCAUUUCUAUAUAAAUGUUACUGUCUUUCAUGGUAUCAGAGCUUCCACUCCUCCGCAAAUAACACAUCAAUCUUGGAAGGAUCCGUAGUUGCACUCAUCACAAACUCACACAAGUGUGCAAGGAUGUAUAUAGGAAUCGCAGAUUACACAUUUUCCAUCACACUUCUCACAAAGGCGUCCAAUAGCAAUUCCUGGUUGCUUCCAGCACAUAAUCAAAUCAGGAUGAUGCUUGGUCAUGAUCUCUUCAAGAUCUUAGUGUUCCUACGUGCACCUGCUGGAAUCGAUUUGAGACUCUGUUCCUUCUCUUUCAGCAGAGAGAGAGGGAAACCUGGAGAAACUUCUGCACUCUAUGAUUUUUUUAUUUAUUUAUUUAUUUUUUUUACUCUUGUUUCUGAUUCUGGCUUCUUUCUCAUCUUAUUCAUGAAAUUCUUCUAUGUUUGCUGUUGUGUCUAUUAUCUGUUUGAUAUAUUGUCAAACUGAAACUUCUUCUUCAAAUCUUCAACUUUCUGCAAGAUUCUUCCUUCUCAAUCUUUGAUUCUCUUCUUUUCUAUCUCUUGCACUCUAAAAAUACGACUACUUCUCACCUUCAGAUUGUUCAACUCUAAUAAGAGAAUAUACACAUAAACGUUUUCUUCUUCCCCUGCACUGCAGAAUUUCUCUCUGCUUCUCUUCAUCUCUAUUCUAAUAUACACAUAAACGUUUUCUUCUUCCUCUGCACUGCAGAAUUUCUCUCUACUUCUCCUCAUCUCUAUUCUCUGCUUUUCUUCUCUUCAUCUCUAUUCUCUGCUUUUCUUCAUCUCUAUUGCAGUAUCUCCCUCUAAUUCUAUUCACUUCUCUGUUCCUCUCUGUGACGUUUCUUGCUAGCUUUUCAAAAUAUCUCUGCUAUCUCCCUUGCUUCCAAUCCAGUGUUCCACAUCUCCAGAUUGAUUAUCAUUUUGUUAGGGAACGGGUUAUCACGGAUGAUUUCCUGGUCCAGCAUGUCUCCUCUACUGAUAUAUCCUCACCAAAGGUCUUUUCAUUUCUUUGUUUCAGCAUCAUUGCUCCAAUCUCAUGCUUGGCUCCUCCCAGCAUGCGCUUGAGGGGGCAUGUAAAGAUAUCAACGGUCAUAAUGAUGCCAAGUGUCAGAAGAUUAGCAAUUAAUAUUGUUAGCAUUCUGUUAGUAGUGUUUGUUAGUAAAAGAGAAUUUGUUAGCAUUAUAUUGAGUGUAAAAGAAAGCAUAUUCUCCGUGCAGUAUCUUCCAAUACUGCAUGUAUAAAGUGAGAAAUAGUAAUGUAAACAGUUAAGCAAAAGCAAAUAAUAAAACAGUGCUAUAAUUUCGUCUUCUGCUUCUCUGUGCAUAACAGAUUCAUUCAUUCUCUGUUCUUCACUCUCUGCUUCUUUUCUUCAUUUCCAUUUCAUUUCUAUAUAAAUGUUACUGUCUUUCAUGGUAUCAGAGCUUCCACUCCUCCGCAAAUAACACAUCAAUCUUGGAAGGAUCCGUAGUUGCACUCAUCACAAACUCACACAAGUGUGCAAGGAUGUAUAUAGGAAUCGCAGAUUACACAUUUUCCAUCACACUUCUCACAAAGGCGUCCAAUAGCAAUUCCUGGUUGCUUCCAGCACAUAAUCAAAUCAGGAUGAUGCUUGGUCAUGAUCUCUUCAAGAUCUUAGUGUUCCUACGUGCACCUGCUGGAAUCGAUUUGAGACUCUGUUCCUUCUCUUUCAGCAGAGAGAGAGGGAAACCUGGAGAAACUUCUGCACUCUAUGAUUUUUUUAUUUAUUUAUUUUUUUUUUUUACUCUUGUUUCUGAUUCUGGCUUCUUUCUCAUCUUAUUCAUGAAAUUCUUCUAUGUUUGCUGUUGUGUCUAUUAUCUGUUUGAUAUAUUGUCAAACUGAAACUUCUUCUUCAAAUCUUCAACUUUCUGCAAGAUUCUUCCUUCUCAAUCUUUGAUUCUCUUCUUUUCUAUCUCUUGCACUCUAAAAAUACGACUACUUCUCACCUUCAGAUUGUUCAACUCUAAUAAGAGAAUAUACACAUAAACGUUUUCUUCUUCCCCUGCACUGCAGAAUUUCUCUCUGCUUCUCUUCAUCUCUAUUCUAAUAUACACAUAAACGUUUUCUUCUUCCUCUGCACUGCAGAAUUUCUCUCUACUUCUCCUCAUCUCUAUUCUCUGCUUUUCUUCUCUUCAUCUCUAUUCUCUGCUUUUCUUCAUCUCUAUUGCAGUAUCUCCCUCUAAUUCUAUUCACUUCUCUGUUCCUCUCUGUGACGUUUCUUGCUAGCUUUUCAAAAUAUCUCUGCUAUCUCCCUUGCUUCCAAUCCAGUGUUCCACAUCUCCAGAUUGAUUAUCAUUUUGUUAGGGAACGGGUUAUCACGGAUGAUUUCCUAGUCCAGCAUGUCUCCUCUACUGAUAUAUCCUCACCAAAGGUCUUUUCAUUUCUUUGUUUCAGCAUCAUUGCUCCAAUCUCAUGCUUGGCUCCUCCCAGCAUGCGCUUGAGGGGGCAUGUAAAGAUAUCAACGGUCCUAAUGAUGCCAAGUGUCAGAAGAUUAGCAAUUAAUAUUGUUAGCAUUCUGUUAGUAGUGUUUGUUAGUAAAAGAGAAUUUGUUAGCAUUAUAUUGAGUGUAAAAGAAAGCAUAUUCUCCGUGCAGUAUCUUCCAAUACUGCAUAUAUAAAGUGAGAAAUAGUAAUGUAAACAGUUAAGCAAAAGCAAAUAAUAAAACAGUGCUAUAAUUUCGUCUUCUGCUUCUCUGUGCAUAAUAGAUUCAUUCAUUCUCUGUUCUUCACUCUCUGCUUCUUUUCUUCAUUUCCAUUUCAUUUCUAUAUAAAUGUUACUGUCUUUCAGAAUUAACCUUCAUUCCGUCUCCAGCAUCUUUUGCCUUCAUUAAUGGUAUCGAAAUCGUUUCCAUGCCAGACAGCUUCUAUGCUCGUGGCGAUGAUAAUCCACUGACCUAUGUGGGCUCCGAUGUCUUCUUCUAUCUGUAUAACACAACUGCGCUUGAGACAGUCUAUCGACUGAAUGUUGGGGGGCAAGAUAUCAGCAGCACAGGAGAUACGGGCAUGUACAGGACAUGGCAUCAAGAUUCAGAGUAUCUCUUUAGACAAUCUGGAAACACUCCAUAUCUCCCAGGCGUUAAGAUAAAGUACACAACCAAAACGCCAGCUUACUCCGCACCUGUUAUGGUAUAUAGUACUAUGCGUUCAAUGGGUCGUGAACCACGUGUUAACAUGAAUUACAAUCUCACAUGGAUCAUCCCAGUUGAUGCUGGUUUCCAUUAUCUCCUUAGACUCCACUUUUGUGAGUUUCGAAUGGAGUUCAAAAGUGUAAAUCAACAGGUAUUUUUAAUAUUCAUCAACAAUCAAACAGCAGAGUAUGAUGCAGAUGUGAUCCAUAUGAGCGGUGGAAACGGUAUUCCAGUUUACAAAGACUACAUCGUGCUGGUCCCUCAAGGGAGCCAGAGCAAGCAGGACUUGUGGCUCGAACUACUCCCUAACAUGGAACUGAAACCUACUUAUGCUGAUGCAAUCUUGAAUGGCUUGGAAAUAUUCAAGCUGAAUACAAACAGAUGAAAAUCUUGCAGGAUUCAACCCUGAUCCAACAGUGGCUCCUCCACCAGCAGAACAACAUCCAAGUCUACAAGAGAGAAGAACGGGCAAAAGAUCAUCAAUACUUAUGGUUAUAGGCAUCGUUGGAGGUUCCAUAGGUGCAGUAUUUGCUUUAUCUCUUAUUCUUUAUUUCUUCGCUUUCAAGCAGAAGCGAGUCAAGGACCCUAGCAAGAGUGAGGAAAAAUCCUCCUGGACUAUAAUAUCACAAACAUCUAGGUCCACGACUACAAUCUCUUCAUCACUACCUACUGAUCUUUGCCGACGGUUUACAUUUGUUGAAAUCAAAGAAGCAACAAGAAACUUUGAUGAUCAAAAUAUUAUUGGUUCAGGGGGAUUUGGCACUGUGUAUAAAGGAUACAUUGAAUACGGUUUCAUCGCUGUAGCCAUCAAACGACUAGAUUCAUCAUCAAAGCAAGGGACACGUGAGUUCCAGACAGAGAUUGAGAUGUUAUCCAAUCUUCGCCACCUCCAUCUAGUGUCACUGAUUGGAUACUGUGAUGAUCAUGGCGAGAUGAUCCUUGUAUACGAUUACAUGUCAAGAGGCACUCUUAGAGAACAUCUAUACAAAACAAAGAGCUCUCCUCUUCCAUGGAAGCAAAGGCUAGAAAUAUGCAUCGGUGCUGCAAAAGGGUUGCAUUAUCUUCAUUCAGGAGCAAAGCACACAAUCAUUCACCGUGAUGUGAAGUCAACAAACAUAUUGUUAGAUGAGAAUUGGGUGGCUAAGGUUUCAGAUUUUGGGCUGUCCAGAUUGGGUCCCACUAGUACAUCCCAAACGCAUGUUAGCACUGUAGUUAGAGGUAGCAUUGGAUAUGUGGAUCCAGAGUACUACCGUAGGCAACACCUAACGGAGAAAUCUGAUGUUUAUUCAUUCGGUGUGGUUUUGUUUGAGGUGCUAUGUGCAAGGCCACCAGUGAUUCCAAGUUCACCGAAAGAUCAAGCAAGCUUAGCUGAGUGGGCACGAAAAUGUUACCAAAGAGGAACCCUUGAUGAGAUCGUGGAUCCACAUUUAAAGGGCGAGGUUGCCCCUGUCUCUUUAAAUAAGUUUGCAGAGAUUGCUAACAGUUGCUUACAUGGUCAAGGAAUUGAACGCCCUAAAAUGGGUGAUGUCGUUUGGGGCCUUGAAUUUGCGUUGCAGCUUCAACAAUCUGCUGAGAAAAAUGCCAAAAGUGUAGACGGGAUCAAUAUGGAAAAUAAAAGCUCAUUUUCACCACAUCGAGAUGUCAUGACCACUGAUGACGAUGACAUGUUUAGUGGAGCGGAGUCACAUUCAAGGAGCACAGUUAGCACUCGUGAAAGUGUCACCCAAAGUGAUCCAGAUCAAAGAGCAAGGGGUGUGUUUUCUGAAAUAAUUGACCCAAAGGCAAGAUGAGAUUGAAAUCAUUUCUCAAUGUGGGCUGCUUAAAAUAUAUGAUUCGCAGCUUGCUAGCAUUAGAUCAUGUCUAUAUAUAUAAAUAGUAGCUUCAAUUUGUUAUAAGUGGAACUGGUGCCACUGUAGAAUCCUGAGCUUGUGUUUUGCAUAUAUCCAUUAUAUUGUUGUAGCUUGAUGUUAUGCAAACUUAAGGUUAGCAUGCGGUCAGUCCCAAGCAACUGAUGGUGUAGAAACACAUUAAUUCAGACUAUUAAGGGUUUGCAUUGCUCAUAGAUAUUGAUAUUCCUCAAUUGAAUUUUCUGUGAAAAUUCAGUAUUCCAAACACAUACAGUGCCCCCAGAUAAACUUUCAGAAUACAAUGCCUGACAGCUCCAAUUAGCAUUACCCAGAUUGGAUUUAUCAACUUAUCAUUCAUAGUCUCCACUGAACACAAAUUUAACAUGAUGUAUUCUAAUUAGAUUUUGAGCUGCUCUACGCUAUUCUCAUGCAUUAGAUUACUAUUCCUAGUAUUCCAAACAAACACUUACAGAUUGAUUAUUACAUAACCAGAAAAUAGAAAGAUCAAGUAAUAGUUAUUGCUCAUUCCAAUAUGUUUUUCAUUCCAUUCUAUCAUCUUACAGCAUCCCAUGAUGGGGUCGUGUUCUCUCGUACAGUUUCAGGUUUUCCUACACCAUCCUCAAUAUUUCCGAAACUCAUUUGAGUAUCCUUCAGAUUUUGACAAUUGAUAUUGUCUGCCUUUCUCAGCUUUGUAGUGUUUUUCUUUUCUUUUUUUCAGGAAAUAUAGACUUUUUAUUAUAAUCAUGUCUUAAGGGUACUUUCUUUGUAAACUACCUUAGACGAAGUCUAUAAUAUUCGAUUGGAUACUUUCAACGACUUUUUAUUAUAAUCAUGUCUUAUGGGUACUUUCUUUGUAAACUACCUUAGACGAAGUCUAUAAUAUUUGAAUUGGAUACUGCCAACGACUUGAAAGUCUUGCAUGAGCUGAAUUGCAAUAGCAUCACUACUAAAAAAAGGGCAUUACCAUCUGAAUUUAGCGACGGAUAAUUCCGUUGCUAAAUUCAAUAACAGAUUUGCAACAGAUUACAUAUAUAUAUUUUUUUAAUAUUAGCAACGGACUUUAACAACGGAUAAUCCGUUGCAAAAUUUACAUUGAAUUUAGCAAUGGAUUUUCCGUUGCUAAUUGAAAAAAAAAUUUAAAAUGUUAAUAUAAAACUAAAAUUAUGUAGAUCGUUGAUUACAUAAAAUUUGAACCGUUUAUUUUCACAUUCCCCCCCCCACACCGAAAUACAGAUCCAACAAAACCAAUUACGCUGAAAAUUAAUUUACUUCCACUCUUCCAAUAUCCUUCUUCGUCCCUAAAAACAUCGAUUCCUAACUGUUCAAAAAUCACCCUCUCUUCAUCGAUUUCAUCUUCCUUUACCCGAAACUGUUCAUCAUCUUCACAUUCGUCUUCAGCAACCCUAUUUUUUCUUCAUCUUCUUCUCCUUCAUCUUAACAGUUUCAAUAUUUCUCUGCAAACCAACAAAAAUAGAGACCCAUGGCAACAUCGCACCAGACCCAUCAUCAUCACCAUCGAACAUCCUGUUUUACCCCUUCUCUGUAAACGGGUUAGGUUUUGCACUGUUUUCUUCGAUAGCUCAGGUAAUUAAUUUAUGGUUUUUGUUUUCUUUGUUGCAAUUUAAGUUACACUAAACAGUUCUAACCUAACUUUCCCAAUCUCAGGUGUUAUUCUGUCAUGUUGAUCCAUCGCCCUCACCUGUAACUGAAGAACACAGGUAAGAAUUUUUUUUCCCGAUACUUUGAAUAAUGGUUUUAGGCUAUUAAUUCGAUAAUAUAAGGUUUAUGAAAUGUUUUUACCAUGAUUUAUAUCCUAAUUAUGCACGUUUAAGUGAAAAUUUAUGAAAACCUCCAAAUUAAUUUUUAGGGUUACGGUUCAUAAAUUGAAUGCUUUUAUUCAACCUGACCAAUGCUGGCAAUUCUUGUGUCUGGAAGAGAGAUUGAUGGAAAUUAUGCAUGUUUAAUUGAAAAUUUAUCAAAACCCCCAAUUUAAUUUUUAACAAUUAGUAUUAUUGAUGUUGGGUGUUCUUUGAUGUCUGCAAGUCUUUUUGUCCUCCUGUGCGCAGACACCUAGGUGUUUUGAAUGUAUUCAUAUGCUUAUAUAUAUAUAUAUAUAUAUAUAUAUAUAUAUAUAUAUAAGGAAACUUGCUUGUUGAUGUUGUGUUUCGUUAAUAAGAUUGCUGUUUUAUUUUUGUUUCUUCAUUCAUUAUUUUUUUUUCUUGCUGUUUUACUUGUUAUAUAUAUAAGUAGCAGAAUUGUGUAGUGAAAGAGGUUAGAAUUCAUGGUUGCCUCCUCCUUGCAUGGUGAUCAGUUAAUUUCCCACAUUAGCUAUAUAUGUUGUCUGUUUUCAUUUGAUUGUCCUGUCUUGAGGUCAGCAUACAUGAUUUGGAAACGUUAUUGAUCACCAAAUGGUUUAGGUGGCAGGCUUUUAAUAUGAUAGUCACAUUGAGAAUUUAAAAAAGUUAGAGAAACAAUGUAAGAAAUGGGACAUGAUUUUUUAGUACAUGAAAUAUAGUAAUUUCACUAUUUAAUUUCAUUUAUUUUUUUUAAUAUUCCUUCUCUGUUUUUAAAAAUUUCCUUAAUUUAACUAUUUUUUUAUUUUAUUUUUUUCAACUCAAAAGCAUUCUAGAUAUAAUAGGGAGUUUGGAACUGGCUAUAUGACUCAUCUAUAUGUAUGCUUCAGCUAUUGAAUUUUGGAUAAAAAUCUGUAAUAUUUACUCAUUUUGUUACAGUACCUAAUGCUUGCUUUGUUUUUUUUAAUUUCUGGGUCCUGACAUGACUUUGUUCAAUAUGAUGGCUUAGGUUUUUAAGCGUGGCAUCAAGUUAUCUUCCUCAAUAAUUAAUUAGCCUUUGGGUUCUUCUUGGCACGAAAGCGGUGUGUUGCAUUCUUACUAUUAUUUAAUAUGGUCUCCUUAAUGCUUUGUCCUUUUGAGGUCUUGUGCUCUUAUACUACAUGUCAUUUACAUGGAAUAUCAUUUAAUGUAUCCAGCUUCCUUUGUUCAUGCAAUUUUUCUACAUGUCAUUUACUGUUUUUAUACAAACUGUUACCAUUUUCUGCAUCUGCUACCAUUGUUAAUUAGAGUUAAUUAUAAUUUAGUCUAUGCAUUUUUUAUGAUUUUAUAAGUUAGUCAUUAUGUUUUUGAAAACCAUAAGUUAGUUCCUUUUUAUAAAUUAAAUGCUAGUUAUUUUAAAAUUUCAAAUUGAAUCAUGUUUAAGAUUGAAAUUUUUCAGGUUAGAUCUUAGAAGAAAAAAAUUGUUAUGAGAAGACAAGUGCCAAAAAAAUAUUAAAAAUUAAUAGUUUAACUUGGAUAUCCUUUCUGUUUUUCAUAGUUUAACUUGGAUUUGUUUUAAAAGACUAGCAAGUGUUAUAACUGGAUGGGUUUGUUAUGCACAAUUCCUUUACCUAAGAUGUACACUAGUAGAUUUAUCAAUGAAUGUCUACUGGAAUUUUGUUUGUUGAAGCUUAUUUUAGAGUUAUUUGUUAUGACAUUCCAUUUCUGCAACUGACCUCAUGUGUCAGUUAUUAACUAAGAGGUGGACUUGUGUAUUGUAGCUUCUUGGCAGGAGCAGUGGAUUUCAAGUAGCAUCCACUCAUCGGCCAUGUACAAAAGAAACUGCCACAUUAGAGAACUGCCCUUGAAGGAACUCAGUACAAUCUCUUACUGUUAGACAGUGAAGGAAUAGAUGCCUAUGAUCAAAUAGUAAGCGCAUUUACCUUAUCAAGAUGAACUGAUGAUUGUUGUGCUGGUUUUAUGUUUUAACAGUUCAAGAAUUGAUGAAAUGACUAGUAAUAAAUUUUAUUAAUUGAAGAAUUUAUUUUCUGUGAUUCCUUCUUAUUUAUAAUUUACACCAUAUCCUUUUUAUAUUCCCACACAACUGCUGUUUUGGAUUAUGCAGUAAUUGUUGUUUUGGAUUAUCCUCUAUCUAUUUAAUAAGCUUACUGAAUACAUAUACUAGAAUAGUGUUAUGAAUCUACCAAGCAGCUUAGCACAUUAAUUACAUGAUAUAAUUGCAUUUAGAUAUUGAAAUCCUAGGCUAACAAUGGCAAGUCUCGGUGUGGACAUUCUAGAAAGGAAGCUAUCUGUCAGGAUUUUCCUUCUCGAAAUUAAAAAUAUUUGUCUUGGAAGUCAGUAGUUUAUACUAAGGAUAUUUACAAUAAGCUGUGGGGGGGAACAUUACAAGAGUAAAUAUCAGAGCAAUAAUUAAAAAAAAUAAAAGAGUAUUACAAGAGUGGUUAAUUACAAUGAUUAAAACUAAUUAAAAGUGAAAAGUUACAGAAUAUAUAGCUAACAGAUUAUACAAGUGAGGUGAAGCAGUUUGCCAAGCAUCUAGGUUAUAUAUUAUUCUUGCUUCUGAAAGAAAAAGUAGGAGUUUGAAUGCUUGUGAUGGAAGAAAUAAGACCAAACAAGAUUAUUGAUUUAUCGAUGCACAUGCAAUAAUUAAUAGCACCAGUCUCUUUUGCUUUAUUUGUUGAGCCAUCAAAGGACACUAGCUGUUAGUUUCUUGUUAUUAAAUUAAAUGAAAUUUUUCAGGUUAGAUCUUAAAUGAAAAAAUAUUUGUUAUGAGAAGACAAGUGCCAAAAAAAUAUUAAAAUUUCAUACUUUAACUUGGAUAUGCUUUCUGCUUUUCAUAGUUUAACUUGGAUUUAUAUUUAAACAUGUAAAUUAACUAUUAGUCUCUUGGAUGAGGAUUUGUUUUUGUAUUAAAGAGUUCUACAACUCUUUUGGCUUUUUUUAUAGUUACUAUGUUGCAUGAACUAAGUAGCAAAUUGUUUGGAGCCAACUUGUGUAAUUGCAGAAACAAUCGCAUGUUUUUUAGCAGGUUUGUCUGUAAUGAUACAUGUAAAAUGCACCAGCAAACUGUGUGAAUGAAGCAAACUGAUGGUGAAAAUCUUUGCUUGCUUAGCCAUUAUCAGUGGAUAUAGGAUCAGUUAACAAACUACAGGCAAUCGCAUGGGCUUGUUAGAAUUAUUUAUGGAAAAGGCUAGGGUCAAGUGUUGUGAGGUCACUGGACUUGACCCUUUAAAUUGUGAAAUUGGAAAUAUUAGACAGAAUCUUUUGCUAUUUUCGGUUCACAAGGUCAUGAUCUUGUUUGGAAUGAAUAUAAAAGAUGGGAGCUUGAUGUUUACACUGUGAAGUCAGUUCUAACAAAGCACUAAUUAGUAUAGAUCCAUUUCCAAUCACACAAAGGAUAAAGGAUUAGAGAGCAAAGCACUAAUUUGUUUUAAAGACUAGCAAUUGUUAUAACUUGAUGGGUGUAACAUACUGUUUAUGUUUUUUAUUUUUCCAGCAAUAUGAAUGGCUUAUUGGAUCACAAUAUAAUCCAAUAGAGUUGGCUAAAUCUGAUUGGGUUGCAAUAAGAAAAACUCCACCUUGUGCCAUUGAUUCUUGGGGCUUAGGUAAGUCUAUUUUGCUCCAUUUUUACAUGGUUGCUUAAUUAUAUCGUGCGUAAUUUUUCUGUUGGGCAUGCCUAUUGUAAUCUUUUCAAGUAGUUGGAACUUUGCCUUUCAUUGGGACAAUAUUGACAGUUUGUAUAAGAAAACUAAUGGAAUGAUUUUCUUUCAUUAAAUCUGAUAUUGAGUACAAUUCUGCUACUUAUAAACACGAUUACACAUUUAGGUGUGUAGUAAAUAACAAUACUAGAGAUUACAAUGAUGGAAAAGUUGAUUCCUUUUACUAUAUGCACAACGUAAUUGAUAAAAUAAGAAAAAAGAAACCCCAUCAAUAAAAACAACUUGAAAUCUGUUGAAUUUAAUAUUGAAUUCUGUUGAUCGGAUUUUGAGGGAGAGAUGGGAGAAAUGGGUGAGAGAUAUUGAUGUUUGAAAGAAAUGUUUACAUUGUUAUUCAACACUUUGGAAAAUGCAAAACCACUUUUAGGAGUUUUAUGGAAAAGUAAGUAUUCUUUAAAUUCGGUGAUUGCGAUUAUAAUUACGCGUGGAAAACAUGUAUACUCACGCAAAUUAAAUAAUGUCGUGUGAUUUUUAAUUGAAAUUAUAUUAAAAUAAAUUUUUAUAAUUUUUUUAACAUUGUUAUAUUAAAAUUAUUUAAAAAUAUAAAAAUAUUAAUUUGAUAUUUUUUAAAAAAAUAUGUCAUAAUACAAAAACAAAUCCUCAUCCAAGAGACUAAUAGUUAAUUUACAUGUUUAACUAUAAACUUUGAUUACACAACAAAAUAUAAAUAAUAAGUAUUUCAUAGAAAGAGGUUUAACAUAAAUAUAUUCACACCUCCAUUACCUUAACCAUAAAUAUUAACAAUAAUUAUUGCUUGUCCGUGUAGAACUUGUAAUCAACUAAAUUGGAUUGUGCCUAAAGAAUUUAUAAAACAAAUGUAUUUAUAUUUUCAUCCACCAGUAUUAUAAUUAUUAUUUAAUUAUUAUUUCACUACGACAUAAAAGAUAGAUAGAAUGUAUAUGAUAAGAGAAAAAGAUACAAAUGUGAGUAACUAUUGUAACCCAUAAUAAAUUAUGUUUUUUUUUUAUAUUGCAUUUUCAUCUUUUUAAAAAAAUAAAAAAAUUCUUUAAUCUUGUAUUACCUCGCAUGUUUCUGAUUUCAUUUACCAUUUCUUAGUUGAGCAAAAAAAUAUCUGUAUAAAAAUAAAAAGUUUGAUGGAUCCAAUAAAAAUAAAAGGAUCCAAAUAAAAAAAAAACUACUUUAGGUGGUAACAAAAGUUAGAAGGACCAAUAAAAAAAAUGAACUCCAAAACUAUUAUAAAGAUAAAUUUAUUUAAUAUUUGUUCAACUAAAUAUUUUUUUCUUUAUCCAUUUAUUCUGUAUAAAAUACUAACAGAACAUAAUCUAAAAGUCUACUUUUGUCACUAGUUAGAAAAUAUAAAUGAAAAUAUAAAAUACUAACCGAACAUAUUUUAUUUUAACAGAUUGUUUAAGUACUAGUAGUUAAAGAAGUAUGCUUAUUUCAAAAAAUGCUUAUUGGUGUUGUCAUGUUAAUUAGAUUAACAUGGAUGAUCGAUCGUGGAUGUAUCGUCGUCUUAUGGAUGGUCGCCUUCGUCCUGAAUACAUUACCGGUGUUAGAAGAUUUAUCAAUUUUGCAUUUUCAAUUGAUAAAAAUAUAUCUGGGGGAAAAAUUAGAUGUCCUUGUGUGAGGUGCAAAAAUCAAAAGUUUUUAAAGGAAGAUGAUGUUUGUAAACAUCUAUUGACAAAAGGUUUUUUACCUUGUUAUGAAAAUUGGACUGUACAUGGGGAGCCUUAUAUCGCAUAACCAAUAUUGGCUGGACCUUCAUCGAUUGGAAUGAGUCAUGUUGUGAAUGAUGUUUGUCUAGAGAAUCCAUAUAGGAAUCUGGUUAUGGAUGCAAUGGGGGUUGGUGAUGCAUUCUACAAUGAUAAUGUGUCUAGUCCUGUGGUAGCAGGGGAAAUUCCAAAUCCGGAGGCAACUAAAUUUUUUAAGCUUUUGAAAGCUACGGAGGAGCCGUUGUGGGAUGGGUGUACCAAGCAAUCCAGAUUAUCUGCUUGUGUACAAUUGCUUAAUAUGAAGUCAACUUUAAAUUUGACUCAGAAUGCCUUCAACAAUUUUAUUGACUUUACAAAAAGUUGCAUGCCUAAUGAUGAAAAUUUGGUUUCAAAUUUUUAUGAUGCCAAGAAAUUUAUGCGGCCACUUGGACUUGGUUAUGAGAAAUAUGAUGUGUGUCCUAAUUACUGUAUGCUGUACUAUAGGGCAGAUGCAAUGAAAAUAAAUUGUGAUUUUUGUGGAAGUUCACGAUACAAACAUAGAAAUCCAACUAGUAAAGGUUCCAAUAAGGCGGAGAAGCAACUCCGAUACUUUCCCUUGACACCAAGGCUUCAGAGACUGUUCAUGUCUGCAUAUCAUGCCAAAGAUAUGACAUGUCAUCAUUUUCAUAAUUCUGAUAAUGAGGUUAUGGUGCAUCCAUCUGAUGGGGAGGCAUGGAAGGAGUUUAAUCGUGUCCAUUUAAGCUUUGCAUCAGAUCUGAGAAAUAUUCGGUUAGGGUUGUGCACUGAUGAGUUUUGUCCAUUUGACAUGUCUUCAAAUACAUACUCUUGUUGGCCAGUAAUUGUGACUGUUUAUAAUUUGCCUCCGUGGAAGUGCAUGACUAGCCCAUUCAUGUUUUUGACAAUGAUGAUUCCUGGGCCAAAGAAUCCGGGUAAAAAGCUUGAUGUUUUCCUAAGACCUUUGAUUGAUGAGUUAAAGAAUUUGUGGUCUGUUGGUGUUGAAACAUAUGAUGUAUACAGAAAGGAAAAUUUUCAAUUAAGGGCAGCUUUAAUGUGGACCAUUAGUGACUUUCCAGCAUAUGGCAUGUUAUCGGGGUGGAGUACUCAUGGAAAUCUAUCAUGUCCUUAUUGUAUGGAGCAUAGCAAGGCUUUUAGAUUAAAAAAUGGAGGGAAAACUACAUUUUUUGAUUGUCAUCGACGAUUCCUACCCAUGAACCACCCAUAUAGAUUUCAAUCUGAUAAGUUUUUGAAAGGAGUAAUUGAAAGGCUCCCUCCUUUACCUCGUCCAUCUGGUUUGGAAAUGUUAAACGAAGUGUUCAAGUAUACCGAGGGACAUAAUGGAGGUUCAUCAUAUAAUGAUAAAAUUCUUGGCUUUGGUGUUAAGCACAAUUGGGUGAAGAAGAGCAUUUUCUGGGAGCUUCCAUAUUGGCAUACAAAUUUGAUUCGUCAUAAUCUUGAUGUCAUGCAUAUUGAGAAAAAUGUUUUUGACAAUAUUUUUUAUACAAUAAUGGAUUGUCCGAAUAGAAGCAAGGACAAUUUAAAGGCUAGGUUGGAUAUUCAAUUGUAUUGUCAGAAGCCAAAUUUACAUUUGCAACAAGAUAUGAGUGGUCGGGUUUACAAACCUAAAUGCACUUAUUGUCUACACAAGAAACAACAACAAGAAGUUUUGUCAUGGAUGAAGGAAUUAUCAUUUCCUGAUGGUUAUGCUUCAAGCAUUUCAUGAUGUGUGAAAGAGGCACAAUGUAAGGUUUCAGGGAUGAAGAGCCAUGAUUGUCAUGUCUUCAUUCAAAGACUUCUUCCAACCGCUUUCCGACCUUACUUACCUAGGCCACUGUAGGAGGCAUUAACUGAACUAUCCGUAUUUUUUCGAGAUAUUUGUUCAACAAAUUUAAAUGCCCAGCACAUGGAGUUAAUGCAGAUGAAUAUAAUUGAAAUAAUUUGCAAACUUGAAAGGAUUUUUCCUCCAUCCUUCUUUGACUCCAUGGAACACUUGACGAUACAUCUACCUUACGAGGCAAAAGUUGGUGGACCAGUUCAAUAUCGAUGGAUGUAUCCAUUUGAACGGUAUGUUUUCAUACUAUGUUAAUUUUAUUCACUUUUUAUUUUUUAAAAAUAAAAUAAUUGACAGAAAAGAUAUAGGUAUAUGUUUUAUUUGAAGAAGAAAGUGACCAAUAAAGCUAAAGUUGAGGGUUCCAUAUGUGAAGCAUACUUGAUUGAUGAAAUUACCAAUUUUGCAUCUCAUUAUUUUGGUGAUGACGUGCAAACAAUUUGGAAUCGAGUUCUACGGAAUGAUGAUGGUGGCCUUAGAAGUGUAGAUGGAUGUCUCUCUAUUUUUUCCUAUCCAGGAAAAAAAUUAUCCAAAAGAUUUUAUAAAAGGCAGUUGUCACAUGCUAAAAUGCAAAUUGCGCAUAACUAUAUGAUAUUCAAUUGUCAAGAACUGAAGCCUUAUUUAGAGUAAGUUUGAAAUAUUAUUUUGUACUAAAUUUAUAAUAAUUUAUUAUUAACUUUAACAUUUUAAAAUUUUAGGCAAUGUCGACAAGAGCUAAAGUCACAACAACCACAUGCGAGUGAUGGUGAAAUUGAAAAAUUAUGUGAAGCGAUCUUUCCAAAUUGGUUAAAAAAUAAUGUAAGUAUUUUAAUAAAAUUAAUUUAUAUUUUAUGUCAAUUAGCUACUUUAAAAAUAUUAUUAAUCUCUUUUAAAUCAUUAUUUCUUAUGGAGUUAACUAUUAUGCUAGGUGGAAUACCAAUCUAACAGAAUUGAAUAUCAGCUCUUUGGACUUGCUAUGGGCCCUUCAACUUCAGUGAAAUGUUAUAAUGGGUAUUAUGUGAAUGGUUUUAAAUUUCAUACUCAACGUUAUGGCCGUUUUAAAAAGACAAUGAAUAGUGGAGUUUGUGUGAAAGGAAGUUGCUAUGAUGAUAAUGAACGUGAUUAUUAUGGAAUGCUUAAAGAAGUUGUUCGGCUAAAAUACUUGGGGAGUAAGUGCAAGUUAUUUAUGUUUAAAUGUAAUUGGUAUGAUACAAAACGAGGGAUUAGAGUGCAUCCUUUGAAUGGUUUGGUUGAAAUCAAGCAUACAUCUCGACUACACGGAAAUGAAGAUUUUGUGUUAGCACAACAAUGUCAACAAGUCUACUAUACAUAUCCACCUGGUAAUAAAUCAUCUGAAUGGUGGACGGUUAUUAAGACAACUGCUAGAAGUCGUUAUAAUGUUGACAUGGGUGAAUUUAUUGAAGAUGCCAACAAUGUGAGAUCAUUUGAUGUUGAUCAAUCAGAUGAGAUUUCUCAACCAUCUCUUGUCCUUCCUACUCAAACACUUGAUGAUCCAAAUAUACUUGUUGAAUCAUCUUAUUAUGAAGAAAUCGGGCAACAUGAAUUGAUUCAACUUGACAUAAAUUGGGGAAACAAAGAUGAUGAAGAUGAAGAAGAUGAUGAUGGUGAUGGUGAUGGUGAUGGUGAUGAAGAAGAAGAAGAUGAUGAUGAUGAGGAUGAUUGUUAUGGUGGUGAUGGUUAGGAGUGAUGAUAAUAAUGAGUAGCACAAGUUAAUUAUAUGUCGUAGUAUAUGUAAUGAAUUAUCUUUAUUAUAUGUAUGGAUGAUUUCAUAUUAUUUGACAAUAUUUAGGCUUUCAAUGUUUUUUUUUAUUAUUAUUUUAUUCAAGUGUGUGUUAUGCAUCACAUUACAUAAAUUAUUUUCAUUGACCUUUGAAACCAUUUCUAACCUUUCAAGUAUCAAUCUUUAAAUUGUGAUUCUGAUGUUAUAUUUUAUUUUGUGAUUCGUUUUCUUGCUUAUAGAUGCUGAAGCGUGAAAGAAAGGGUUCUUCCUACUCAAUGUUUUGAUUUAUAGGACCAAACAUUAAGGUAAGCAUACUCAUAAAUUUUAAUUUCUACUUAAUUAAUUAUUUAGAUUUUUAUUUUUAUUAUUGUUUGUGCUAAUUGGCUUUUGACAAUUUAAACUUCAUGGCUGAUUUUUGUCAUUGCAAGGAAUGCUUAAUGAAAUUGUCUUGAUGUUAUUUACAUAUUUGGUUUUGUUACAGUAAUUAUUUUAUUUGAAGUAUAAUAUUUUUCGGGGUGUUGGCUAUUAUUGUUAUGUUGUAUAUAUUCAUAUGAUAAUGUAUAUAUUUUUUCUGGUUUUUAGCAUGCCUCGACGAGGAUCCAUAUUAGAUUCUAGGAGUGACAGGUCCACAUCAAGGAGUGACAGGUCCACUUCAUCCAAAUCAUUUCAAACUACAUCAAGGCAUAAUAACAAAGGAUCCACAUUUCAUCAACCUGUGUAUCAGAACGCAAAUGAGUAUUAUAUACCUACUUUGGGGAGUACACAUCCUCCUCAACAUGAUUAUGGGAGGGUUGAUGCAUAUCAAUAUUGUGAGGGCUUUCGUUUUCAAGAUUUGCUUCAAACUCAAGGAGGUUUCUCUCGAGAUAACCAACUUGUUUAUGGAGGACAUAAUUUAUAUGGGAGUCAUGGGAGAGUUGAUGGUGAUGAUGAUGAUGUGAACAUUAGAGAUGAAGAUGAGGGAGAUGGUAGUAAUGAGAGAGGUGUAUGUGAUGAGGAUCAAGAUGGUGUUCCAUCAUAUCACGAUUCAACAUCUUCUCCAUACAAUUAUGAUCAAAGUGUUAAAAGGAAGGGUUUUGACACGCAAAUAGAUCCAAUAACAAGAAAAAAAUAGCUUUGUUUGUAUGGAACAACAGAGUAAGUUCAAACUUUUAAUAACUAACUUAUUAAGGUUAUAUUUUCAAGUAUGAAAAAAAGUACUUACUAUUGUGUAAUUAUUUGUUUAAUAUAAGUUUGUUAUUAUAUAUUUUCAGGUUCAAUAACGCAUCGUGUGGACGUGCAAUCAGAGAUAUUUUGAGGUCCAAUUUUAAGGGAGCAUGGCACUCUUGGGAAAAAGUAGAUUCAAUGUGCAUGGAUGAACUCUUUAAAGAGUUUAAGGUAAGAACCAACACUAAUUGUCAUAAUAUUCUUUUCAAUUUUGAUCACUUUAAUGUAGCAUUAUGAAAAUUAUCAACUGAAUAGCUAUGACUGAUUUGUGUUAUAAUUUGUUCUUAUUUCUUGUUUACUCUUUAAUAUCAUUUAAUUUCUUUAGUUAUUAUAUCAUCUUGCAAAUUCUGAACAAGAUAACACAAUAUGAUUAAUUAUUUAUAUAAUUUGAAAUUUUGUGCACUCUUUUUACUUGGUAUAUAUAUUAUUUGGUAGAAAAAAUAUUCCUUUCUUGAGGAAGAUGAGUCAAUUGUUCGUAAUAUUUGGGAAGAUAAGGCUAGGAUAGCUUUGAAUCAACAAUUGACACGAGCUCGCAAGAAAGCCAUGUCAAAAGAAAACACUACAAAUAUUAUAGAUUGCCUUGAUAAAGGUCCUGCCUGGAUAAACAAUGAUGACUGGAAUCAAAUGAUCAAAGAUGUUUGGUCCACCCCUGAAUUUCAAAGGAGGUCUGAAUCUGCUAGGAGGAAUCGAUUAACCAAAACAGAUGGCAAAAUAAGCACUCAUUCUGGAGGAAUAGUGUCAUUUGCAUCAUAUCGAGCUAACAUGGUAAGGAUUUUUUUUUUAUGCUUAAGAUAAUAAAUUAAAAUUUGUAUAUUUGUCUUUUAUAAUAUUUAUUAAUCUUGAAAGCAAGAGGAAGCUGGUGGAAAAGAACCUCCAUGGGAUGAUAUCUUUUCAGCUUUGCAUCAAAGUACUAAGCAGUCUGGUAGCUUCGUCGACAACAAUUCUAAAAAAGUGGUUGAAUGUAUUUUUAUUUGAUUAUUUCUUAAUAUAACUUAAGUAUUAUUUAACAUUCAAAUUAAUUUAUUGUUGUAUGUAUUUUAUUUGUAGGAAAAUUAUAAAAUGGAGAUGAUUUCAAAGUAUGGAACUGAUCGGGAAAAUCAUCCUUCAUUUGAUGGAGCAACUUGAUGUGUGGCUUCAGGAGGAGUUACAAAGGAUAGGGUAUAUGGUGCACCUCGUAUGCCAAAAUCAAAAGUUAGUACAAGUUCUUCAUCACAUUCCUACUCGGUGGAGUCAUCAUAUCCCAGUUCAUCGUAUCGAGCAUUGCAAAAGGAGAUAAAUGAUAAAGAAGAGGAGAUAAAGAAAAAAGAUGAUUUUAUUCUUGAAAUGAAACGGCAGAUGGAUUCCAUGAAAGAAUAUCUUGUGAACAAUCUUGGAUACCAUGGUGGGACAUCAAAUAUUGAUCAAGGUAUGCCACCACCUUUGACUCCAUCAAUACCGCCACCUAUGGCUCCUCAGAUAAUGACACCUAUGGGUCCCACAUCUCAACCAAUUUUUCGACCUACACCUCGGCCUUUAUAUCCUGAUCAAUCUUGUGUCGAUCCACAAUAUCAUGGUUCGUCUUCGCAACCAGCACCAUGAUUGUAUCUUUUGUUGUUUUUUUUUUUGUGUAUUUGAACUUAAAUGUAUUAAUGCAAGUUUAACUAAAUUUUUAUAAUAUGAAUAUUAUUUUUAUUCUAUUUUUUAUUAAUGAUAUAAUUAUUUUUAAUAUUAAUUUAUGUUGGUUAUAUAUAUUCUACAACUUUUAAAAUAUCCAUAAAUAAUUAAAUAAAUAAAUUAAAAGUCAUUUUAAUAAAUAAAUAAAAUUAAUUUAAUAAAAAAUAAUAUAAUCACCAACAGAUUCUCCGUUGGUGAUUGUAAGUGAUGCAUGAAUCAGCAAUGGAGAAUCCGCUGCUGAUUCACAAAACUAGCAACGAAUUUAUCCGUUGCUAAAAUGAGCAACGGAGAAUCCGUUGCGAGUUUUGCAACGGAGAAUCCGUUGCGAGUUUUCCAACGGAAAAUUCGUUGCUUACAGUUAGCAACGGAUUAUCCGUUGCUAACUGUAUGCAACGAAUUUUCCGUUGCUGCGAAAUCAACAACGGAUAAAUCUGUUGCUAAAAAAUCUGCAACGACAAAUCUGCAUCCGAUUUUUGCCGUUGCUGAUUCCGUUGCUAAAUUGUUUUAGCGACGGAUUUUAAUGUUAUUUGCAACGGAGUAGUCCAUUGCUAAUUACUAUAUUUUUUAGUAGUGUCAGCUUUCACCUCAUUAAUUCUAAAAUUUUUCUUAAACACACAUCCUUCACGGUAUGCUUCAUCACCUCAUCUAAUUUUGCAUUUAAAUCUUUUCCUUUCCCGUAAUUUUCAUCAUCCUCAUCAAAUUCUAGUCCACAAAGGAACUAGAAUUAUAAAAAAUUUUAGUUUCAAUGUCAUAUUCAUCCCAAUCAAAAAGUUAUUUUCUCUGCUUAUGUCUUUGAAACAAGUUCUCAAAAUUAACCAUAGAUCCAUGAUCACUCUUCUCAAGAUAUCCUAGGCUCCUUACCUCCGUCAACUAAUGGGUUAAUAUUGCAAUUUGUUUUUGCAUGUCUUAUAUCAUCUGAACAUCUUUUUUUAAUUUUGCAAUUUGUCUUUGUAUGUCUUCUAUCACCAUCUUUUGUACGUCUCUUUCUCAAGAAGAACCUUUUAUCCCCUCCUACAGGAGCAUGUCUUAUUCUACUACCUCUUCUAGUCGUGGUUAUUCUAGCGCAUAGUAAGCAAAUAAACACUGAUAUCAUUAGACUCUAAUAUCAACUAAUAAACAGAAACACAAACAAAAAAACAAUAAGCUAUGAAGACAUAACCUCUGGUAUCGUUGAAGCCAAAUAAAAUUGUCACACAAAACCCUAAUUUAUAAUUUUAUUACUUAAUAUUUUAUGUUCAUGUAGUCUUCCUCACUAAGAGGUUUAUAACUCCUUAAAUAAAAAAAAACUAACCUAAACAAACUAGAAACCUAAAAAUAAAAAAAAAGUUAUAAAAAUUCUAAAUAAACUAAGAAAAAUAAAAAUAUUAUACAUAAAACUUAACUUCUUACACUAAAUAGAAAAAAAAUAAAAAACAAUUCUUAAAAAAUCCUCCUUGUAGAAGCUAUUCAUUGCUUAGUGUCAGAUAUUGCGAAAGGGGUUAAAUUUCAUUAAAAGUUAGUUUUGUAUUUGAAGGUUUAAAUCGGUUUAGUGUUUCAAGAUGUGUUGUUGGGUUAGGAAUGGAAAAUAAGGAACUUAUAUACAAAAUAUAUUCUUAAGCUAUCACUUCAGACUUUUUAAAUUGAUAACAGAAUCUGAUGGAUACAAAUAAAAUGGACUAAAAAAUCCCCCAAAUAGACCCAAAGAAAUCCUCUGAAAGAGAAAAAAAGCUCAAAAAACACCCAAGAAACUUGAGCUCAGGCAUGAUAGCCCGAGCCCACGCACCAAGAACAUGGGCUCGAGCAAGUAGCCCGAGCCCAUGCUCCUUGCAUGGGUGUAUGGAUGCGCAGUGCAUGGGCACUAUGCAGUGCAUUGGGCGUCUGCCCGGUGCAUGUACGCUCAGUACACCCCAAUGCGUGUACACCCAUGCAGGGCGUACAACAAAAUGGUGAUGGGCAUGCACCUUAUAGCCCUCGUGGGCACAAGUUGUCAUGCCCGAGCUCAGUAUGUUUGGGUUCAGGUAGCGUUCUCGAAUCCACUUUCACCUCUAAUGGGCUCGGGCACCUUAUCUGAGCCCAACACUUGCCAGAGAAUUUUUCUCGAACCCCACUUGGAUCUCUCGAUAUUUUAUAUUGAUCAAAUACAUAUUAUUUUAAGUAGAAUACAACUCAAAAUAUUACAAUGUUGAAAUUACACUUCAGCCCCUCCUAUCCACAAAAGGAUAAGAUUCAUGAGCUAUAAAUACACUAUAAAUCCUUCAAGUCAAAGGUUCACAAUCUCUUCAUUCUCUACUGCGUAUAUAUUUUCAGAGUAUCUCUCUCUAAAAUAUUAUUGCACUUUCUCUCUCUAUAAAGUUACUGGCUUUAUUGUCGGAGAAUCCCACGUCCAUCAAAGGGGACUUUUUGCAGGUACCAGCUACCGGUUACCUGGCUUACUAGACAUCACCUGCUACCAGUUACUAAUCCUCUGGGUUUUUCAUAUCAAGUCACCAGAUAUAUUAACUAUGAAAAAUGGAUCAGAUUGCUUGAACUAAAAGAUCAACCAAUUAUCUAGCACAACAACCUUAUUCUUAAGCAUGUUGGAUUUUAGAACUCAUGAGAAUCCAUCAUUACUUGCAAGCACAUGGAUCCAAUAUAGACUUUCUCGACCACUAUGUGUCUCCCUAAACUUAAUAAUCGAUGCUCCAUUAUCUAUAUAUACAUGGAAGGGCCUCUAUCAUUGAUAACUUGUCUAUGCAAUUUACUUGUGCUUUAUGUUAUUUUUUAUCACUUCAAUAUUUUAGUACUUACUAGUUAUAUGAUCCAUGAUCCACCGCGAGUCAGAUAUUUUUAUUUUCUAUAAAAGCAUUGUAUAUGUAGGUUUUUUCAAUGCAUUUUUGUAAUUCAAAAAAUUAAAGUGUAGAUCAAAAAGUUUGUGCAUACAUGUAAUCAAUUAAACCGAGAACUAUGUGUGCUAAUAAAUAAAUAAAAAGUCAUUACGAUACCUAAAAAUAAAACUUGAAAAAUCAAGAGACAGAUACAAAUCAAGAUAUUUAAUCUCGCAAGACGGGACAUUUACAUAAUUAUGUUUGCUAAAUUUUGUUUAUUAUAAUGUUUUUUUAUUCAAUUAAACGACAAUAGAAAUAGACAAACACAUUAAAUUAAUUGAAAAAAAAAAUAUUAUGCAAGGCUACACAUAUUAAAAAUAUUAAUUGAAAAUAAAUAUUUUUUAUUUUCAAAAAUGUAGUUCAUAUAUAUAAAAGAUAAAAAAAAAUUAUAAAUGAAUUAGAAAAACCUCUUCAAAAAUUAAAAACAUAACCAAAAAAUAAUCAUCAUUUAAAAGAGACUCUAAACAAAAUAAAAAAGAGGUAUUAAUCUAAAUAUAAAUGAUUUUUUUUAUUUUACAAAAAAAAAAUAAAAAAGAAGCAUUAAUUGAAAAAUAGGGGAAAAAAGGUCAAGUGUUGUUGGGCCUGGCCCAUUUCAUUAGGGCUCGCUUGAUUGAGCUCUUUUUUUUUGUUGCACUUGGAACGGAUGACAUGUCGUCCACCUCUAUCUUUUAAAAAACAAAUUUAGACGACACGACGCCUGUUUAGAUAGACAACGCGUCGUCUGAUCUUGCCUAGAUUCCAACCAUUGUGGUGGUCAGAAAAUCAGGACCAAAGUUUUUUUACCCAAAAACUCAUUUUGACCCAAAACACCUAUAAAAAAAACCUUAAAAACCAUGAUAAAUGAACCUUAAAAACCUAUUCAUAACCUUCAAAAAACCAAAAAACCCUUCAAAAACAUAAAUGAACCUAAAAACAAAAAUCAACCUGAGAUCAUAUUUGCUUUUUCACGAACUUUAAAAGUAAGAAAAGCAACUAAUAUGAACUCUCCUAGUUAAAAAGAACUAUUUGACAUAAAUAUCAUCCGUUUUAGUGGUCUAAAUCAGUGUCAACGACAUGAUUCUCUCUCUACUGCUGAAAUCCAGCGACCUCUCUCUCCUCUCUCAACCAGGGACUAAAAAAUAACAAGAAUAAACUUUCAUACCAAAAUUAAAUUGAAAAAUAUUGAGGUAUCGAAAUUGUAUAAUCUUUAUUUUUUUUAAAUUCGAGGACCAAAGUGCAUCAUUUUCAAAACUUAAGGCAUGCCACCAUAUUUGACGCCUUUUUCAUUUAGAUCCCUCUUCUUUCAAUCACUCUUUCAUAAGAAAUCAAAAUCAAUUGGUUUUUAAUUAGAACUAAAUUGCCAAAAAAAAUAGUUUAAGAACCAAAUUGAAAAACAAAAAAUUUUGCAGUCCAUCCACAAUAAUGUGUGAGAGAAUGAAUAGUAUGAAAAACUCAUACUUUUUAGUUUUAUACUUAGGCCUUGUUUGGAAACGUAGUUCAAACUGCGUUCCACCAAAUUUUUAAAAAAAAUUGCUUAAAAUUAUUUGUUUUUUAUGUUUUUAGAUCGUUUUGAUAUACUAAUGUCAAAAAUAAUUUUUAAAAAAUAAAAAAUAUAUAUUAUUUUCAUACAUUUCUAAACGAAAAGCACUUUAAACCACAACCACUACCACAUUUUCAAACACACCUAAUUAGUUUGUUUCACUUCAAUGAAACAAGAGAAAGAAGAAAUGUGCAGAUCGUUUCAAUCUUUCGAACCCAAAACGUGAGAACAUUUCCAAGCAUGAAUCCCAAAUCUCAUUAUCCACUUAUGUUCAUUGCUCCCUGAAAUAAGACGAAUAUAUCAAUAUGGAUGAUAUGCAUUACCUUCUGACAUUAAGUACAAAAAUCACACCGCGAUUCAUCAGAAUCCCAGCACAAGAACUGUUUUUCAGCAACAGAAUCCUAGCACAAGAACUGUUUUGCUGCAACAGAGUCCAACAUCACCAUCUAAUUAUCCAAGCUGGAAGCACUGUAACAAUUAUGCAAGCAGAUGCACGGCAUGCGAACUGCUGCAAAAAACACCUUCAGUAAACAAAAGCAUCUUUGGCUAGCUUUCACUCCGAGGAAGCCUGAUGUAUAAUGCCUUCACCAUUAAGAGCAAUUUUCAGUAGUUGCUUUUUCUCAUUGCUGAUAUUGCAGUAAUGAGUGCUUAAAUCACCAAAACCAAAAUAACCACCAUUUUGAACAACCUGCAACUUUUGCAUGUAACUAGAGAACCAUGUAUUGGAAAUGAGUUCCAAAGAGUAAUCAAACCUUAUUAUUGAAAAGAGAUUUCAUUCAGGUAUACAACUGUUUCUGCCAAAGCACGUAACUCUGUGGUCUUCCAGAUACUACACUAAAAUUUCUCGAGUUCAAAAUGGAAAAAUCACAAUAUAAUUGCAACGGAUAAAAUAUUUUGCUACAAGAAUACACUAGCUAUGCAAGAUGAAAAAUGGAUAUACCAGUGGAGCAUCUAACUGACUCAUUUACCUAACCUUGAGUUCCUAGGGAGAGUAAAAGAAUCGGUGCUUAGAAUCUCAGGCGGACUAAAAAGUCUUUAAAAUUCUGUAACCAAUCCAGAUUCAAUAGGAGGUUCGCUCCUCAGUGGCGGUAAUGCCAAAGACUAGACCAACAAUAUUGUAUCAGGGUUGGGAAUACAAGAAAAGUUUCUUCUGCAUGUGUAAAAAUGCCAACUCCAAAGAUAACUUGAUCAAGCCACCUUCAGAACCAAAUCUCUACCACUGAUCAAUAGCAGGUUCACAUCUAUUCAUCCUUUGCACACAACCGCUCUGAAUGGAGAAAAGAAAGGAAUUCUCAAACUUAGCAUAUUGCAGACAUACAAAUAGAUAGCAAUUGCUUGAAAAACAUCUUGCACAGAAAAACAAAUGCAAUCAACAAGCAAAAUAAUAAUACCAGCAAGAACAAACAGAGUCCAGCAGACAUGUGGUCUGAUAGUAGGUCCUAUAUAAGACUAACUGAAAAAAUUUAUAUAAUCAAAGCCUUGAAAAAUGAACUAUGGUCAUUACCAUUGAAGUUUCAAAAACAGGAGAGGCCUCGGUCAAAUAUCACUAAAUUGUUGGCUGACCAUCCAAGUACCUUAUAGGGAGCUCUCAGCCAAUAAAAACCUCAAUCCCUAAAAAAGUAUCUCAAAAUUAUGCUAUAAUAACUGUGUACUCUGAUAUUCCCUUACUUUAAACGACACAGGUGUCACCAUAGAUGAACAAAGAACUUUGUGACUUCAAUAAAUAAGGAAAAACAUGAGGAAGGCCGGAUGUUAACUAUAUAAAUUAAUACUUCCUCAAGCCCAUAAUAAGUGUACUUUGGACAUCACAGAAUUUUAUUUUAUUUUUUAAAAUUACAAAAAAUUCAUUCAUAGCCAGUCAUUACAUACAUGAUUUUAACUGAUCUAAGCAUUAUGUAGCCCACAGGCCAUGCUACAAGUAAAAAACUAUUCAAGCGGAAUGCUUUUCUGUAUUGAUUAAGUUCAAUAUAUAUACAAGAUACAUUAGGGUUCCCUUAUACAUCAGAGACUAAUAAGGAAUGACAGCUAAUUGAAUGCAGAUUGAUAUAAAAUAUUCUUACGUAUCUUUCCUACUUAUCUCAAGAUAUAACUUUCCUAUUUACAUCAAAACACUAUUAAUAUAAUUUCCAACACUCCCCCUCAAGUUGGAGAGUGAAUAUCAAUAACUCCCAACUUGCACAUGAGCUAUUUGAACUUCUCUUUUCCCAAAGCUUUUGUAAACACAUCUGCUAAUUAUUGUGAAGAAAUCACGUAUCGAGUAGCAAUUUCACCUCAUAAAAUUUUGUCCCGAAUGAAGUGGCAAUCCAUUUCAAUAUGCCGAGUUCUCUCAUGAAACACAAGAUUUUUUGCAAUGUGUAAGGCAGCUUGAUUAUCACAAUGAAGAGUAACAAGAUCUGAAACUGGCAUAUGUAAAUAUGUUAAUAAAUGUCUUAACCAAGUAAGCUCCCAACAUGUACCUGCCAUUGCUCUAUAUUCAGCUUCCGCACUUGAUAAGGAAACUGUCCUUUGCCUUUUUGUUCUCCAUGAAAUUAAAGAUUUUCCAAGGAAUACACAAUACCCAGUGGUGGAGCGGCGAGUGACAGGACAACCCGCCCAAUCAGAGUCACAAAAUGCCGUUAAGUGUAAUGAGUUAUUUGAAUGAAGAAGCAAACCUUGACCAGGAGCUGAUUUUAAAUAACGAACAACUCGAAGAGCAGCAGCCAUGUGAGGUUGUCGUGGUUCAUGCAUGAAUCGGCUGAGAAUGUGAACUGAAUAUGUGAUAUCAGGUCUAGUGAUGGUUAAGUAAAUUAAUCGACCAACUAGACGCUGGUAUAUACAAGGAUCUUUGAGCAAUUCUCUUGUAUUUGAAAGUCUGCAUUCUUCCAUAGGAAACUCAACUAGUUUGGCACCCAAGUAUCCACUGUCUUUGAUAAUUUCCAAAGCAUAUUUGCGCUGGGAAAUGUAAAUGCCUUUCUUGGAACGGGCUAUUUCAAUGCCUAAGAAGAAUUUCAGAUCACCAAGGUCUUUGAUGCGGAAACGAGUAUGAAGGAACUGCUUUAAACCUUUGAUGGAUUCAAUGUUGUUCCCGGUUAUCAAAAUGUCAUCCACAUAGAUCAAUAGGAUAGUAAGAGAUGUGCUGUCUCUUUUGAUGAACAAGGAAUAGUCGGCUUUUGACUGAAAAAAACCAGCAACAAGAACAGCUUCUGUGAACUUAGAGAACCACUGUCGAGACGCUUGCUUAAGGCCGUAUAGUGACUUGUGGAGGCGACACACAAUGUUCUCCCCUUGUCACCGAAGACCAGGAGGAGGGGACAUAUAUAUUUCUUCCAAUAAAUCACCAUUUAAGAAAGCAUUGUUAACGUCUAGCUGAUGUAAAGGCCAGUUUAGACUGGUAGCAAUAGCAAGGAGGCAGCGGACAGUGACCAUUUUUGCAGUGGGGGAAAAAGUAUCAUGAAAAUCAAUUCCAGCAGUUUGUGUGAAACCCCGAGCGACCAGGCGAGCUUUAUAGCGCUCAACAGACCCGUCAGCCUUGCGGUUGAUGCGAUACACCCAUUUACAACUGAUCGGGCGUUUGCCAGGGGGCAAAGGAACAAGGCUCCAUGUCUGAUUGUCAAUGAGAGCUUGAAGCUCAGAAUUCAUAGCUUCCUGCCACUUAGGAUCAGUCAUAGCAAGUUCAUAUGAAGGAGGUUCCUCAUCACGACUAACAUUGGCAAUAUAACAGAGAUGUGAUGGAGAAUACCGAUUAUAAGAAAUAAAAUGACAGAGAGGAUACUUCGUACCUAGUGUAGGUGCAGACGAGGCUGAGAACAAUUGGUGUGGAGGCAGAAUCACCUGCCAGCAAACAUAAUCCUUGAGGCGGACGUUGGCUUCUCUAGGGCGUUGAGAACGGCGAAGUGGCUGAUCAGGAAUAACCAGAGUAGGUUCAGGAAGGACAGGGUCAUCUGGCUGAACAGGGGUUUGUUGUGCAGCUGGUGGAGUUAAUGGAGUAGAGGAAGGUGGCUCAGGAAGAGAAGGUACUAGGUUGGUUGGUGCAGGUGAAGAGGAUAUGGGGGGAUCAAAGGGGUCGAUGAUGACUGAUGAGGGAGGAAGAUGGGAAUAAGAAUCAGACACAAUAGGAAGAGGAAUAGGCAAGCCUGGUGGAUUGUGUGCUGGAGGAUAGACUUGUGGUGGAUGAUAAAAGGUGUCCUCAAGAAAUACCACAUCCCGAUUGGUGAAAAUUUUCUGAGUUGCAAUAUCGUAAAGUUUGUAAGCUUUUUGUCCCAUAGGGUAACCAAGAAAAAUGCAUUUUGUGGCACGGGGAGAAAAUUUUGAGGAUGGAUUGACUAUAGUUGCAAAAGCAACACAUCCAAAAACUCGCAUGCGAGAAUAAUCAGGAAGUUUGUUGUAAAGAAUCUCAAAUGGUGUUUUUUUGUGAAGCAACAGAGUAGGAAGGCGAUUAAUAAUAUGGACGGCAGUAAGAAUCCAUUCUCCCCAGAAAGUAAUGGGUAAAUGAGAUUGAAAACGUAGAGCGCGAGCAGUUUCAAGGAUGUGUCUAUGUUUGCGCUCAACGACACCAUUUUGCUGAGGUGUAUAUACACAAGAGUGUUGAAAAAGGACGCCUUCCUCAAGAAAGAAAUUUUUUAAUGAAAGAAAUUCAGCCCCAUUAUCAGAAUAGAGUUUUUGAACCUUUGUAUUGAAUUGAGUGUGAACAUAAUGAAAAAACUGACGAAGUAGAGUUUGUGUCUCACUCUUGUUACGCAUUAAAAAAACCCAUGUAAAACGAGAAAAAUCAUCCACAAUGGUCAAGAAAUAAAAAGCACCAGAAAUAGAAGGGGUUUUAUAAUGACCCCAAAUAUCACAAUGAAUAAGAGAAAAACACUUCGAAGUUGAAAUUGAACUAGAAGGAAAAGGUUGACUAGUUUGUUUUGCCAAUGGACAAACGUCACAUUUAUGACUGGAAUCAAAAUUAAAUUUAAGCGAAUUAUCAGCUAAAAAUUGUAAACGAUUAGAAGAAAGGUGUCCCAAUCGGCGAUGCCAGAGAUUGGAUGAGAUAAUCAAAUUGCAAGCAAAAUGGGUAGAAGGAGGUGUUGAAGCCAACGCCACAAGGUAAUACAGGUCAUCACGUCGCUUACCCACACCAAUCAUUGUCCUCGUAGCCAAGUCCUGCAAAAUACACCAAGAUGGAAAAAAGUCACUGAGCAAUGUAAAUCAUCGGUUGUCUUGCCAAUAGACAUAAGAUCAACUUUAAAGCUUGGCACACAGAGGACAUUAUUCAAUUGAAGAGAAUUGUUAAGUUGAAUUGAGCCAGUCACAGUAAUUUUAGCCACGUCUCCACUAGGUAAGGAAACAGGUGCCAAAGAUUGAUUCUUGUUGGCAUGCUUUAAUAAUGUAGGAGAAGAAGUAAUAUGAUGGGUUGCCCCACUAUCAAGUAUCCAGCGAUUGUGAGCAACCGGUAAUAAACCUGAUGUAUGUUUGAAGGUUGAGUCAGCAACAACAUUAGCCUGUGGAGUGACAGGCUUGGUGGUCAAGACACUGAGUAUCUGAACAUAUUGAUCCUCAGUUAAGUUGGGCAGAGAGACCUGGAGUUCCUGAAAAGUGGGAUUAAAAUCCACUUGAUUUGCAGAGGGGUUACCAGAUGCAGAGUGUGAGUUAUGCCUGUCAUAGCCUUGGCGCUGGUGUGGUGCCUUUUCUUUACUUUUUGGAUGACCAGGAGGGUAGCCAAUUAAUUUGUAACAGGUUGCUUUCCUGUGAUACAUAUCACCACAGUAAGUGCACUGAAAAGGCUCUUUAUUACGUGAAUUAUUUGAUUGAUUCCCAUGAACUUGAUUAUUUUGCCGACCCUUGGACAUGUUGUAAUUGCCACGCACAGCCAUGGCUGCUGUAUUUGAUGGUAUGGUGACAGCGGCCCCCAACUCUCGUUGUUUUUCUUCCUGCACAACAAAGGCAUAAGCUUGACGAACCGAUGGUAAAGGGUUCAUCAGUAAAAUAUGACCUCUUGCACUUGAAUAUGACUCGUUGAGUCCUAUAAGAAACUGUAUAAGUUUGGUUCGAUCAUUUUGCGCACCACAGGUACAUGUUUCUGAAUUAAAGGAUACAAGCUCGUCCCAUAAACCCUUCAAUUUUGUGUAAUAUGCUGCAACUGACAUCUGACCUUGCUCAAUCCUGUAGAUGUCUCGCUGAACCUGAAAAAUACGGGGAGCAUUCCCUAAAGAAAAUCUUUCACGAAGAUCUUCCCAGAUGGCAUAAGGAGUGUUGCAUGAAAGAACAGAAUCGGCUAACUCUGGCUCAAGAGAAUUUAGGAUCCACGAAAGCACCAUGUCAUUGCAGCGCUGCCAAAGGGCAUGUUCUUCAGGAUUUGAAGCCUCAUGGGGUUCUUUGAUUUUGCCAGUAAUAAAACCUGUCUUAUUCUUGGCACUUAGAGAAAUUUUCAUAGCACGGUGCCAAGAAUUAUAGUUGUCACCAUUCAAUCGUUUUGAAACAAGAAGCAAACCAGGGUGAUCUGAGUGGUUGAGGAAUAAUGGAGAACCAAGGGUGCUGGGAGCAGAGGAUGAAUCGCCAGAACUCAAAAAAUCAAUAUCAUUAGCAGCCAUGAUUUAAAAGAGAAUAAAAAGGAGGCAAGGCAGAGACGGAACAAACAGAUGCGUUGAAGAAGAAGAAAAAAUAGGGUUAGGUCGUAGCCUGCUCUGAUACCAUAUAAGUAAAAAACUAUUCAAGCGGAAUGCUUUUCUGUAUUGAUUAAGUUCAAUAUAUAUACAAGAUACAUUAGGGUUCCCUUAUACAUCAGAGACUGAUAAGGAAUGACAACUAAUUGAAUGCAGAUUGAUAUAAAAUAUUCUUACGUAUCUUUCCUACUUAUCUCAAGAUAUAACUUUCCUAUUUACAUCAAAACACUAUUAAUAUAAUUUCCAACACAUGCCAGUCAUUACAGCACUUUACCGGUGAUGGUGAAAGCAGUCACUUACAUUACCUUUUUAUACAGCAGAACAUGAUUUUUGUUUCACUUUCCUAGCCUUAACCAAACAUGAUAAAAAAUGUACAGAUAUUACUUGUGAGUGGAAUUCCUCGUCGAUUAGGAAACAAAAAAAUCGAUAUGCUUAUAUAUAAAACAGUUAAGUGUCAAAUUUUAAAUAAAAGUCCCAGCAAAAAACCAGAAAACAAAAGGUUAUAUUUUUACAUUCUUUCCUCCAAUUUAGGAAUUUGAAAAAGAGGUGGACACUAAGUAAAAGAGUGCUGGUAUAGAUGCAAAAGACAGAAAUCCCAAACAUUCACAAAGGUACUGCUAGUAAAAAGACAACGUAGAAAACUAUGAAGCUGAUUAUGCUAUUGAAAACAAUAAAGGAGGACAAGUACUUUAUUUCUUCCUAAGUGCACAACAACAAUCUAAUAAAGUUUGGUAUGUUAAUAGCACUUUCAUUAAACCAGAUGAUAUGUCUUCACAUUUAAAGAUCAUAGAUGGAAAGUGUCUAGAUAUAAAAGUAUGAUUUUUUAUAUUCUAAAAGUUCAAGCAAAAAGUUAUGUCUUUUCUAUUUUGAAAAAUGAAUAAGGUGAAUGAUUUUUUCACAGCAUUCUAAGCCACCAUUCAUCUUAUAGGAUUUGAACUAAUUACAUGAAUUUCCAACCUGGAAAUAACGUUCAGAAAGAGAAAAGGUAACAUCAUUUCAUGAAGCACCAACACCAGACAUGUUAACCGAUGAUCUAAGCUUCCGAAUUCCAAGAAGCAUAUUUUGAGUGACAAUACAUUUUAAAAAAUAAGGCUCUCAGUCACAUUAAAACAGAACAAAUGAAGGUGAACCCAAUUCAUUCUUCCAGUUCAAAUUAUGUCAAAUCAAAUGGAUUCCAAAAUGCAAUUAACAGGAAAAAGAAAAAAUAAUAAUAAUUGGGCUAUAAAAAUUUCAAAGCUCGAAGACGAACAUAUAUAGAACGAUCACAUUCAUGCUUAAGCAUUUAAUUUCCCUUUGUUCCUUUAGAUCACAUGCAUGUCCAGGAAGACAUAUUUGUUAACAUUAUGUUAGUUUCACCUUGCUGUUACUCAUGCAGAAUAUGGUUAUAUCAGUUAGGAAUUCGUUUGUAACAAACCGCAAUUGUAGGGGUCUUUCCGUAGAAGUCAAGGAAUAGUUUCUACUACCUACUGCUAUAUAAAGGCAGAUGUAUUGAUGAAUUAAGAUAACUUGAAAUCUGUAUACAAAUAUUAUGAAUAAAAUUCGUAGAGUGAAACUCAUUUUAUCAUGGUAUCAGAGCAUGGAAAUGCACUACUGAUAUAUCUUUCCCCUGAAAUCUCCUUCUUGAUAAAGCUUUCCUGUACCUGUAUCGUCUCUUUCUCUGUUUGUGUAUCUUUCUCAGUUUCCUUCACCAUCCUUUUCACCAUCCAAUCCUGCAUUCUUGAAAAUCCUGCAUUUUCUCUGUCAAUCUUGCAUCCUUAUCACCUUUCUCUCUUUUAAAGAAAAAAAAAAGGAAGGGGAAAACAAAAUAAACGUCUGCCUAUAUGAUCAUUCACCUGUUCUUCUGCACUCUAAAUCUUGCAAUCUGUUCUUGAAUAUUUUCUGCAUUAUGAUCUUGAAAUGUAUUCUUCCUUUUCUUGCAUUCCGAUCACUUUCUUUGCAUCCUGAGAUCACUUUCUUUGCAUCCUGAGAUCACUUUCUUUUCUAUCAUUCUUGAUUUUUCCAUGAUGAAUGAUAAAACAACAGAAUCGACACCCAUUAUCCAUGUACAAACUGAAAACUCUGGAUUCACAACCAGUGUUAUUCUCACUGAAACUAAUUACGAUGUAUGGUCUCAGAUCAUGGAAAUGCAGAUUGUAGGAAGAGAAAAGCUUGAAUAUAUUAUGGGCAAAACACAACCACCACAAGAUACUGAUGCUUCUUAUUCAAGAUGGUAUGCAGAAAAUCAAAAGGUUAAAGGAUGGCUGCUGACGUCUAUGUCACCAAACAUCAUGAAAAAAUACAUCCGACUACGCACUGCACGAGAAAUUUGGAAUGCCUUGUCUAAAGCCUUCUACGAUGGAUCAGACGAAUCACAACUCUUUUCACUUAACUAGAAAGCCUUCUCCACAAAACAGAUAGGUUGACCACUAUCAACAUAUUAUGGUGAUCUUAUGGAAAUCUUCCAAGAACUUGAUCAUCGCGACAGAACUGAAAUGAAAGACCCGGAUGAUGUUAUUACUUACAGAAGAUUUGUUGAAAGAUUACGGGUACAUAUUUUCUUGAAUGGAUUGGAUGCAGAAUUUGAACAAAUCCAAGGGGAAAUUCUUAGAAAAGAUCUGAUAUUGGAUCUUGAAGAAGCUCAUGCUUCUGUACGUCGUGAUGCUGUUCGCAUAGCUACUUUAAACAAUGAAGCUGGAGCUGGUCAUGCUGAAUCAUCUGCAAUGAUGGCAUGACGAGGUAAGCCUAGAAUAUACCGAUCAAAUGGUCCUACAAUUGAAAAAAUUCGGACAUCAGAAAUUCAGAACAGCAGCUAUGAAAUUGAAAAGGCAAAAUCAGAAUAUGUCUGCACACACUGUGGUGAGACUGGACAUACAAAACUGAAAUGCUAUGAACUAAUUGGGUAUCCAGAAUGGUGGGAUCCUGCUAAAACACCUGGUAAACAAAACUCAAAACCAAAUACCCAUGCUUUAGUUGCAGUGGCAGAACAUCUUUCAAUCAAAACAAUGACCAGUCUCACGACUAAGGAAGAAUCUGUGGCAGAACAUCAACAUCCUUCAACACUCACAGGGGAAGAAUCUGGUAAAGUCUUUCAUACCUCCACUCUUAGCAGUAGAAAUGAAUGGAUAAUUGAUUCCGGAGCUAUUGACCAUAUGACCUUUGACAAGUUGUGGCUUCAAUUUUUUAAACCAUCAGACCAAUAUAUUAUAUCCUCAGCAAAUGGUACCUCAUCGUCUGUUAAUGGGGAAGGUUCUGUCAUCCUUACUGAAAAUAUAAGUCUUGAAUCCGUAUUAGUUGUUCCAACUCUUAAUUAUAAUUUACUUUUAGUUGCUUAAAUAACUCUUGCUCUGCAAUGCAUUGUUAUUUUUUGGCCUAACCUUUGUGUUUUCAAGGAUAUUCGAACUCGGAAGACAAUUGGUUAUGGUACUGGAAGGGGAAAGCUCUAUUAUCUGGAUUUAACACCAGCAAGUUGUCACCAGUUAGCUCAAGCAUUCUCCAUGAAUAAAUCUGCUGCAAACUCUGAAAUUUGGUUAUGGCAUAAAUGCUUAGGUCACUCAUCCUUUGGAUAUUUGAAGAAAUUAAUGCCGAAACUCUUUGUUCAGCUACUUGACACAGAGUUUAAAUGUGAUGUGUGUGAAUUGGCUAAAAGCCAUCGGGUUCCAUUUCAAAACAACAUGAAUAAAAGCCCAGCACCGUUUACGAUUGUACAUUCAGAUGUAUGGGGUCCAACAAAUACCUGCUCUCUUAAUGGUAAACGAUGGUUUAUUUCCUUUAUUGAUAAUCACACACGUAUGACAUGGAUUUGCCUAAUGAAAUGCAAAAGUGAAGUAAGUUCAUUAUUCAAACAAUUUCAUAACAUGGUAGCCACACAAUAUAGUUCUGCAAUACAGGUUCUCCGUAGUGACAACGGUGGAGAAUUCGUUAAACAGGAGUUGAAACAAUAUCUGAUUAAUCAUGGAAUUGUUCACCAAACCACUUGCCCUUACACCCCUCAACAAAAUGGGGUUGCAGAACGUAAGAACCGCCAGCUUCUUGAAGUUGUUCGAGCCUCUUUAUUUGAAGCUCAUAUGUCAACUAAAUAUUGGGGUGAAGCUAUCACCGCAGCAACAUAUCUUAUCAACCGAAUACCCUCAAGCACAUUAGGAUUUCAGACCCCAUUGAGUGUUCUUCAUAAAGCAAUAUGUUCUCCUACUGUGUCACAUUUGCAACUAAGAGUUUUUGGAUGUACAGCUUUUGUUCAUCUUCACAAACCAUUAAGGAAUAAGCUGGAUCCGCGAGCACUCAAGUGCAUAUUUGUUGGUUAUGCCCAGCAUCAGAAAGGUUAUCGCUGCUAUCAUCCACCAACUCAGAAACUCUAUGUCACGCUUGAUGUUGUAUUCCAUGAAAAUAGAAUGUAUUACUCUGCCCCUGAAUCCUCAAGCCAGGAGCAUAACAAGGAUAACUGGCAGACAUGUUAUGAUGACCUAUAUGUUACAAGAGAUAAGCAUUCUAGUAAUACAUCUUCACAUUCCAUGCAAGAUGGAAAUAGUGAAGAAUAUAUAGAAGCAGAACCACAACAAACCACUGGCAGUGAAGAAAACCGAAUAGAGGUACUGCAACAAGAAACUCAGGUACCUUAGUUGCCAGCUUCCCCACUUCAAUUGUGUCCUGAGUUUGAAUCCGUAACUGAACCUCAAGUAAGUUCUGAAACUCAACUCAAGGUUCUACCCCACAGAACCACGAGAGGAAAACCCAAAACUGCAUAUGAACCACUUCUCACCUCUAAACCUCAUUAUCUUAUGAGUAAUUUUGUGUCCUACCAUAGAUUAUCAAAGGAUAAUGAAACUUUUAUGAAUCAAAUAUCUGCUAUAUCUAUUCCUAACAGUGUGUAGGAAGCCAUAACAGAUUCAAUAUGGAAAGAGGCCAUGAAUGAAGAAAUGAGAUCCCUUCAAAAAAAUUCCACAUGGGAAGUGGUUGAACUUCCUGCAGGAAAGGUACCGGUUGGAUGCCGGUGGGUGUUUACCAUUAAACAUAAAGCGAAUGGCACCAUUGAAAGGUUUAAAGCAAGGCUUGUCGCCAAAGGGUACACUCAAACUUGUGGGAUUGAUUAUAUGGAAACAUUUGCACCGGUAGCCAAGAUAAAUAUUGUUCGUAUCCUACUAUCUCUGGCCGUGAACCUUGACUGGCCCCUAUAUCAACUUGACGUAAAAAAUGCAUUUUUGCAUGGGGAUCUCCAAGAACAAGUAUAUAUGGAAUUACCUCCUAGAUGUAUUAUGCAAAUCAAAGGAAGCACAAAGGUAUGCAGGUUAAAGAAAUCCCUAUACAGGUUAACGCAAUCUCCGAGAGCAUGGUUUGGGAGGUUCACUAAUUUCAUGAAAUCCAUUGGAUACAAGCAAAGCAACUCAGACCAUACGUUAUUCCUGAAAACAAAAAAAAGGGAAGUCACAGCUCUGAUCGUGUAUGUGGAUAAUAUGAUAGUAACCGAAAAUAAUCCUGAAGAGCAGAAAGCAUUGCAGAAUCGUCUUGCCCAGGAAUUUGAAAUGAAAUCUCUAGGGUCACUUAAAAUACUUUCUUGGUAUUGAAGUAUCACGAUUGAAAGAAGGAAUUUUUUUGUCUCAACGAAAGUAUGCCCUAGAUUUGUUAAAAGAAACAGGUAUGACAGCUUGUAGUCCCGUCAGCACUCCUAUAGAAGAAAACCUGAAACUGAGUAUACAUCCACAACAAAUCCACACUAAUAAAGAACGUUAUCAAAGACUAGUGGGAAGAUUAAUGUAUCUUGCACAUACCAGACCUGAUUUAGCUUAUACUUUAAGUGUAAUCAGUUAGUUUAUGCACUCCCCUAGUGAACAACAUAUGAAAGUUGUCACUCGUAUCUUGCGCUAUUUGAAAUCAUCUCCAGGUAAAGGAAUUAUAUUUAAAAAGGGGGACAACUUGAAGAUUGAUGGAUAUACCGAUGCUGAUUGGGUAGGGUCAAUACAAGAUUGAAGAUCUACAUCGGGAUAUUUCACAUUUGUGGGUGGAAACUUGGUCACUUGGUAAAGUAAGAAACAAGAAGUAGUGGCUAGAUCCUCAGCUGAAGCUAAAUACAGGGAAAUGGCCAAAGCGAUAUGUGAAUUAUUAUGGAUAAAAAAUUUGUUGCAGGAAUUACAGGUUGAGUAGACAAGUCCUAUGAGAUUGUAUUGUGAUAGCAAGGCGGCAUGCGACAUUGCUCAUAACCCUGUCCAACAUGAUAGAACUAAGCAUGUUGAAGUUGAUAGACAUUUUAUCAAGGAAAAAUUGGAAGCAAAAAUUAUCGAAGUUCCUCAUAUUCAAUCUCAAGAUCAGCUUGCAGAUGUGCUGACGAAGGUAGUAUCCAGCCAAGUUUUUCAUAUCAGUCUUGACAAAUUGGGCAUGAAUGAUAUCUAUGCACCAAUUUGAGAGGGGAUGUUAACAUUAUGUUAGUUUCACCUUGUUGUUACUCAUGCAGAAUAUGGUUAUAUCAGUUAGGAAUUCGUUUGUGACAAAUCGCAAUUGUAGGGGUCUUUCCGUAGAAGUCAAGGAAUAGUUUCUACUGCCUACUGCUAUAUAAAGGCAGAUGUAUUGAUGAAUUAAGAUAACUUGAAAUAUGUAUACAAAUAUUAUGAAUAAAAUUCGUAGAGUGAAACUUAUUUUAUCAAUAUUAAGAAGCAACUAGAAAUUAAGGAGUUCCUAUGAGCUUCCUUAAUGGUGAUCAUAAUUCAUGGAUAUGGUUAUGAGCUUAGGCGUCGCAAUUAAAGGGGCAUUAACAUCUUUCAAGUUAGACCGGCACUGUGUAAUGACAAUUACAUAUGAUCUAGACCAGCCUUCAUCAAACAAUUUGAAACAAUUAUAUCUUUCCUUAAUUUUUUGUUCCAAAAACUAACGAAAGAUAAAUUUUUUUUCACAUAUAUAGGUUUAGUACAGAUUAUUAUAGUCAAAUCAUUUCAUCAUCUCGGAUUAGACUCUCCCAUUCUCAUGCGUUCAAGAGACCACAAAUUUAUGACCUUUUCAAACUCACUACUUACAAUCUUUCAAUCAAAUCUUGCUAAUGGUUCUACAUACUUGAAUUGUUAUCCAAAUAUCACUAUCUCAUUAUUCAUCCUAGAUAUUAUAGUGAAAACUUUAACUCUAAAUAUUAAGACUUAUUAAGACUCCAACUGAUAUGCUUCGAGAUUCCAAAAAUAUAGUCAUCAUCUAUAGAAUAUAUUACAAAAUCAUGGAUACAAACAUAGCUCCAAAAGCUCUCAAAAAAUCAUCUAUGAAUUAAACUCUUCGAAUUGAAGCUAACUCUCAAAAUUCAAACAUUCAAGUUCCUAAACUUUGAUAAUGAGAUCAAGUCACGUACAAUGAUAAUUGGAAAUUACCUCACGUCCGUAUUCCAAAGUCAUUACCAUCUAGAAAAUGAUUAUGUUCCAACUUGCCUCAAAUAAUCAAUUUUGAAUCCUUUCAUCAGCAUGAGUCCAAACAUCUCACAUAUAAAUUAUUCUUAAUCUCUCCAAACACCCUUGUUUGUUCAAUCCCAAAAUGCACCUUUAACAACAUUAUUGUUGAUGCCAAGGGUUUUUAUGAAAUUAAGAUUUCUUAGUUAUUAUUAUUUUCUAUUUAGUUUAGGAAAAUAUUUUUUUAUGGUGAUUUUAUUUUUCUUUUUAGUUUAGGAAAUCAAAUAUUGAGAAUAGUAAUUUUAUUUCUCUAAGUUUGUUUAGGAAUUUUUGUUACUUUUUCUUUAUUUUAGGAUUUUCUAGUUUGUUUCAUUUGAUGUUUAAGCUUAUUUAAAGAGUUGAAAACAUCUUAAAGAGGCAAAAGAAAUAGUGGAUUUUUCUAUUCAUCAAUAAAACUAUAAAUUAAGGUUCUUGUGCUCUACCCUAUUUCAACUAUUAAUUUUUUUUCUCUUGCUAUUGUCCUUGUCGCACGUGUGCGGCGUCGCGGCGAUCGUCCUCCACACUCAAUUGUGUAUCUGGAAAAUAUUGGGAGACAAGGAAUUCUUUGUCUCUUAGCGGUGAAAAAAUAGAAUUGGAGUCGCCACCUAGUAUUCUGGUUACUAGGAACCGUAACUGGUCUUAGAGAUCGGGUACGGAGACUAGUUGCGUAAAGGGAAGGUAUUAGCACCCCAAAUACGCUCUAACUAAGGUAAGCUGCAUUGUUUUAUUUGUCUGAUCAAAAUCUAAGGUUUGGUCGUGUUUUCUAAUUAUUGGUCCUGUCUGUCUAAGAUUUAAGAAAAGCCCUCCUCAAUAAGUAGGUUCUUAUCUUAAUGGGGUAGAACCUAACCGUUCUAACGUUGGAAAAAUUUUUAAUAUCUAGAAUACGUAUUACGUGUAAUAUCAUACCCCGGAUACUAAAAGACAAAACAAAAUAAAAUUUUUGUUGUUUUUUAAAUUUUAGCCAAUGUUCUCUUCACUUUAAUAAACUGGUUAUUAAAGCCAAAAUGCAUGCUAAAACAUUGUUUUUUUGGUGUAUGAAAAACACAAUAUGAUUUUUUAGCUUUGAGACACUUGGUCGUAUGCACAAAAAUAUUUUUCUCUUUUUUUCAAUUUUUUUUUUUUUUGUAUUUUGAAAGUUUUGACGAAAACUGAGUAUUUUAAUAUCGAAUUUGUAUUUUUACGAUGUAAAAAUACAAAUCAAUAUUAAACAAAAUUUAGUAGAGAAAUACGCGGAAGAGUUAUAAAUUUUUGAAAAUAUUUUUUUUUGAAUUUUUAUGGACCGGGCUGGACACAGCCCACUCAUUUUGGGCUGUCCGGCCCAGUGAACAGUGGAGCACUCUCCACUGUUCACAACUUCGCAUGCUACGCUGAACAGUGGAGAGUGAAUUAAUUCACUCUCCACUGUUCACGCAGAACAGUGGAGAUGGUGCAGCGACGAAGAAGAAGAAGAAGAAGAAGAAGAAGGAAGAGGGGCGGAAGGCUGACCUGCGAUGGCGGUGGUCUGGCCGACGUGAAGGGCAGUGUGGAGCAAGCGGUGGUGGUAGACGGUGGCUGAGGCAGGAAGAAAGACGGAGAAGAAAAUCUGCAGGUGAGAAAGAGAGGGGGCAGCGGCAGCUCCUGGUGGCCGAACGGUUUACUGCUGUGGAGCUGAUGGAGGAGAGGCCGGUGGUGGCUGGAACGGCGGUGAUGGAUGGUGGUGGGAUGGCUGUCCUGUUGUCGCUGCUUCUUCUUCCUCUGUUUCUAUUUUUUUCAGUGUUUCUUCUUCUGUUUCUCACGGUGCAGGGCUGCUUCAAUGACGGGGAGGACGGUGAUGUUGUGGCGGAGGAGAGGAAGCACAGCGGUGGUGCCCAGGUGGUGAGGAACGGUCCUUCUUCUCCUCUGUGCAGUGACCCCCCUAGUCUCUGUUCUUCUCUUUUUUUCGAAAGUUUUCCUCCUCUGUUUUUUUCUUUUGGCUUCAGUUUUUCUGUUCCUUCACUCUGCUCGGUCUUGCUUCCCUCUCUGUCACUACCCUUCUCUUCUUCUCCAAAAUUUUGCCCCCCCUGGUUUCCUUUUUUCUUUUCCUCCUCCCCCCUCCAUUUUCUGUUCUCCUGCCCUCAAUUUAUAGGUAGUCGAGGAGAGGUUCACCAUACCCUGUACAAGCACAGGGCAUGGUGGCCGGGGCAUGGGUCUUCUCCUUUUCGUUAUGGUGGGGGGCAUGGGUCUCCUGUUUCUCCAUUAAUGAGGGUAUGGGUUGUGUAAGUAGUUAGGCAAGUGGGGGAGGUAGAGAAGGAGAGGGUGAGCGGGAAAAAGAUUUCAAAAAUCUUCUUCUCCCCUGCCUCUGCAUUUGCAGGGGAGAAGAAGCUGCACAACGGCACCGUGCAGUUUUUUUUUUUGAAGAAAAGGAAAAAAAGAAUUUGGGAGUGACCCAAAAAUGAGUUAUUACAGUACUAUUGCUUGUAAUUUCACUUGUGUUAAUUACCCUCCAAAUUUUCCUUAAAAAAAGCAUUUACCCUUUCAAGUCAAGAAGCUAUUAUCUUCAAGUUAUUUUAGAAAGUAUGUUGAAAACAAGAUAAUUUUAUGAGUUUAUUUUGGUUGAUAUUGACUUUGUUGAAAUAACUGAUAAUCAAGAUGUAAACAAUCUUGUUUUUUCAAAAAUAAAAAUUCAAAAGGUUUUAACCUUUCAAGACAUGAAUCAAAACCCCUACACCUUGAAAGAUUUUCUCAAAACUACCACCCUCAAAGAUCCAAUUAUUUUGAUUUUCAACAAACUUGGUUUAAUUUAUUUUUUCUAAAAAAACUAUGACCAUUCAUCGUUCAUCCAUUUUGAUAAAACAUUGUCCAAAGAAUUUUCCAACUUAGUUCUCAAACAAUUGGUGGCAAUAUUUUUCUUCAAUAAGUAAGAUUCUCCCUAAAAAAUCAUACAAGGAUUGGAAUUGCUUACAGCAAAAAUACCUUUGAAUUCAAUUCCUGCCUCUUUUUAUUUCAUCUCAACCUUUAGUGUCUCAUGCUAUCUUGGGACUCCAUUAUAAUGAAUGAUGUAGAUGAAGAUAUUGGUUACUUUUUAGAUCUCAGGAGGAAAAUCAAAGUCAAAUGGUGGACCCAAAUUCAGAGAAACUCAAGCUUGUUCUCAAGUUAUGCAUGCUUGGCUAGAAUCUCAUCAAACUCCAUAGCUGCAAGCAUCCCCAUCAACUCUAUCUCAAGAAGCACAAUUUACGUUUCUCACCUCUAAAAUUCGAAUUCAAGAAAACCUUGCAUCAUCAAGCUCAAAGUCAAAAUACAAGAAAAAACUUCAAGAAGCCUUAUAUGAAAUAUCAAGUUCCGAUGAGGAUGAAUUCGCUAAUGAAAAUCCAGAUUAUGGCCAUGGUCUUAAUUAUGAGUUACAUAUAUAUAUAUAUAUAUAUAUAUAUAUAUAUAUAUAUAUAUGGACGCCAUCCUUCAUAAAACAUCCUCCUAUUUUAAUUAUUCAAGAAUAUUUGACAAAACAUCCAGCCACUUCAAUUAUUCAAAAAGUGUAUAUCACGUCAUCCAAGACAUAUUCUCAACUUCAAGCAGAAUUUCAUUAGAUUUAAAGUUAAAAAGCCUACUAUAAAUAAGUCUUUCAUUAAAAGAGACUAAAGGAGCUCCCAUUUUUACUAUAGAUUUAUUAUUGUUGUCGCGGGGUGCGCCGCGAUGUCGUCAGCGACGACGAGGCUUUAUGUCAUGCCUCCCUCAUGAGGUGUUGUGUUGGAAAGGUUUUUGGAUUUAAUCAUAAAAUUAUGAUUAAUGUUCAAGAGUCGCUACCUAGUAUUAUGGUCACUAGAAACCUAUGGUCUGCGAGUCUGCGUAGGGGAUUGGUUGUGCAAGGGAAAGACGCAUCACCCUCAGUGCACCCUACCUAAGGUAAGCUGCAUUGUUUUUUUAUUAUUUUUCUAGGUCGGGUUUCUAUUCGUUCAUCUUUUCUAAGGUUCAAGACAGAUCUCUCUUCAUAAGAGAGUCUCUACAUUAUCGGAUUAAAUCCUAACCAUUCUAAAAUCUGAAUUUUAGCAUCGCAUUUAUUUACACCUUGUAUCUUUAGUACAUGAGGGUGUACUUUAUCAUGUAAUUUUACACUCCACGGAUAUUAAACUCUACAUCUGGACCCUAAAAACAAUUGGAAAAAGGUUUUUGAUAUUUUGGCCAAACCCUAAUGGAUGAUCAUAAAUUGGUUAUGAUAUCCAUUUUUUUUUUUGGAUUUUCAAAACAUGAGAAAGAUACAAUUUUUUUAAUGAAAAUAUGCUUGGAAAAGUUUUAGGAUUUGGCCAUAUGCAUGGAAACAAAAUAUUUUUUUUGUUUUUUUAAAAAGAAAAAUUAAUUUAAUGGAAUAUAUUUCGAAGAAAAUCGGGUAUUUUAAUACCGGGUUUGUAUCUUACAGUGUAAAAAUACAACCCAAUAUUAAGCAAAAUUGAUAGAAAAACAUGCAGAAAAAUCACAAAUUGUUUUUAGGAUUUUUGAAAUUUUUUUGGAAUUUUUUGUUUUUUUAAUGCAAAAAAAUAAUAUAAUAUAACAUUAAAUGUGUGGGCUGGGCCCGGCUCAGCCCAAUAAGAGGUUGGGCCAAUCUUGGCCCAACAUCUCUGUUUUUUUUUUGUCUAGGACGGGACCAGCCCAGCCAAUUGGCUGGGCCAGAAUUGACCCAGCCCAAAAUCCACUAGAACAAUGGACGUGAAUUAUAAUUCACGUUCUACUGUUCAAAAUAGUGGAACUCUACAAGGAGAAGGAGAAGGAGAAGAAGAAGAAGAAGAAGAAAAAGAAGAAGAAGAAGGGGAAGGGGAGCAAGAGGCUACCCAAGCUAGAGAGGACCUGCUGGUCUUGGUGGUCAACCUGAAGCUGGUGGCGGUGUCUGUGGAGGAUUCCGUGUUGAUGUUGUUUUUGCCGGUGCUGGAGAAGGAAGAAUAUGAAAAUGGUGGCGCUGAUGGGCUGUUGAAGCUACUGCUGCUGUGGAGGAAGAGAUAUGUCACACCCAGACAUCGCGGCGAUCGAUUAAAAAUUCUCUCUCGAUUGGAAAAAGAACAGAUAUCUGGCAUCUUGUUCUUUAAGGAAAACGGUCUUGUUCAAGGAGUCGCCACCUAGUAUUAUGGUCACUAGGAACCCUAAUUGGUCAACAGAGAUUCUAUGAUACGGAACUGGUUACGCGAAAGACAUCAACUAAGUCCUUCCACUUUUUUACCUUGGUAUUAUCUAACCGCAUAUACCAAAUAAGGGCAACGUCACUCAAACUAUCUUGAAAGAAGUGAAUCAAUAAUUUAUCAUCAUAAACUACCUCAGCCAUUUUGUUGUAGUAUGUCUUGAGAUGAGUUACAGGGCAUUGAGUUCCUGUAUAUUUGACAAAUUCUGGCACCCUAAACUUCUUAGGAAUGACUACGUUAGGUACCAAACAUAUCUCGGCGGCUUUCACCAGGUCAUACAAAUGGUUUCCCUCAGCUGCCCUCACCCUAUCUUCUAGGGCAGUCUAUUUUUCUAGACCCUCAUCUCUUACCAUUUUGUUCUUGUGAGACUCCUCCAAGGUCGACUCAACAUCAUGAGGGAUCCUCAUUGGGUAUGCAGGCUGAGCUGGGAAAUGCGCAGCGUAUUGGGGCUCCGGCGAGGUUCUACUUGCCCCCAAGUUUGGUGGAUUGGAGAAAGCUGCCAGCAUCGACGGAAUAUGGGCUGUAAAUGCUGGUUGGGAGGAUGUCCCUUCUCCCAACUUGGAUCUCAGAGCUUGCUCGAGUAGGCUAGUAAGUCUAGCGACAUCAAAUUGUCCAACUCUUUUUUAUGUUGGGCGUCCAAUCGAUCUCUUUCUUCGUUUCCCUUUUUUUUUCCGCAACUGCGUGUUAUGAGUGCGUUUUAAUGGGGGACCUACAUUUCACCUGGAGUGCGGUAUUAUAAUAGUUCAUAUAUGCAUGAAGAUUGUCAUAACCCAAUUUUUGACCAUUUUAUUUUAUUAUUAUUAUUAUUACUAUUAUUUUAUUUACUGAAAAAUGAUAAUAAAAAAAUAAAAAAAUGAUGAUGAAAAACAAAUAAAAAAUGAAGAAUAAAUUAAAAUUUGGGUUAAGGACAACAUGAUUGUAAGUUUUGAGACUUAAUUGAGCUUGGAAUUAAUUUAAUUAAUCAAAUCAAGGGCUUAAUUGAAGAAUUGAUAAGUUUUGAGAGUUAAUUGAGCUUGUAAUUAAUUUAAUUAAUCAAAUCAAGGGCUUAAUUGGAGAAUUGAGAGUUAAUUGGGCUUGGAAUUAAUUGAAUUAAUGAAAUCAGGGACUUAAUUGAAGAAAUACCAAAGUUUGGGGUUAAUUGGGGGCAAAAUUGCAACAGAUUAGAGUCCAAGGACUGUUUUGUAAAAGGCUCCAAAAUGCAGGGGUUCAAUUACAAUUGAACUAGGGGCUUAGUUGCAAAACUUUCAAAAAUUCAAGGGCCAAAAUGCAAAUAGCCAUUUCACAUCUCAAAACGGCGCCGUUUCAAGGGACACUGUUCAUCUUCUUCAAACAAGAAACGGACACUGCACGAUCCUCAUUCCCUCAUUACUCCUGCAAACGGUCGGUCACCUCAUUAUUUAGAGGUGAUCGCAUGGCAUUCUCUGGCUCUAUAAAAGCUAGAGAAAGGCCAUGCACGCGAAAAGAAAAGGAGGGCAGAACCGAGGGGCUGAGAGGAGAGAAAAGAAGAAAAACUGGGGAAAAACUGGGGAAAAAAAAACGAGGGGGGAGAACGGAAAAAAAACCAAGUGAGUAGAAAAAAAAGGGAAACCCAGAAAAACAGAAAAAAGACAGCACACAGAGAAAAAACCCAAGAGAGAGCACGAACCAAACAAAGACUACACAGAGAGGAGUAUUGCUUUUACCAUUGCUUUCGUCCCUGUAGACAACGAAAAACCCAGAAAACAAGCAGGGGGAAAAAGAGGAAGAGAAACUGGGGAGAAAAGGGGGAGACAGAGGAAUCACAUAACCGAGGGGCUAAAAGACGAAAAACAAACCCAGGAGACAGCAUUUUAUCAUCGUCUUCGUCCCUUCCGUCUCAAUAACCGGGGCGACGAGCAAAGUUUAAAGCAAAGGAAGAAGUUCAAAACAGAAAGACAGGGGAAGCAAAAGGAAAACGCAAGCAGGAGACACGGAGACCAACACUAACAUCCCCAUCGUCUUCAUCGCCUCCAGCAACGUCUGCAGAUCAGGGAAGUUUGUCUUCGUUCCCUUCUUUUCCAUUUUUCAUUGUAAAGUCACUGUAGCUUGGAUUUAAUUAACUCUUGCACGCACGCGUGGUGCGUGCCUUUGCCCAGCCGGGUCACUGGCUUGGGCCAGUGACCGGGCCGGGCUGGCUGGGUCUAGCCCAGCCCAAAAAAAUAAAAAAAAUAGGAAAUAAAAAAUAUAAAAAUAUAUAUAAAAAAAAAAUAUGCAUGCAUAUAUUUAAAUUUAAAUUUAUUUGGUUUAUUUAAAGAGCUAGAGUCAGCAACACCAUUCAUUUUUGUUUUGGGUUACGUAAUACUUAUCAACGCCAUAGUUGGAAGUAUCCGUAGUCGAAUAUUCACUGACGCCAGAGUCAGGAAUAUUAUAAGCAAAUCAUCAUAGCAUAAACUAAUAAACGUUUAGCAAUUUAAGACAAAAUCAGCAAUGUAGUCUGCCUCAGGCAGAACGUUUAAGGGGUGAUGAUAUCUUCCAUUUUACGUAACCAGUCUCGUACCAUAGAAUCUCUGUUGACCGGUUAGGGUUCCUAGUGACCAUAAUACUAGGUGGUGACUACUUAAACAAGAAAACUGAAUCAAACAACUCCAUCAUUCAGGUGACUAAAUUAUAAACAAAAAAAAAGAGAAAAAAAAGAGAAAAAAGAAAUGAAUAAACACCCUUACCCCCAUGACUCUUGAAUCAUGUGUUUUUUAAAUGUAUGAAUAAUGGUAAGUAGUGAACUUGUUGCUUAUGACCCAUGAAAUGCAUCUUUGCAAAGACCAAACCAUCACACUGGAUGAGGUCAAAGUUUAUUGAUCUUAACUGUUUGCGCUUGAAAUGAGGAAAGGCCAUCUUUGUUAUUCCUUUCACAUUCUGAAAUAAGUACAUCCAUUGCGAUCAGACAAAACCAGCAAUGCAGUCUGACUCAGGCAGAACGUUUAAGGGGUGAUAAUAUCUUCCCUUUUACGUAACCAGUCUCGUACCAUAGAAUCUCUGUUGAUCGGUUAGGGUUCCUAGUGACCAUAAUACUAGGUGGCGACUCCUUAAACAAGACAUUUUCCCCUAAAAGAACAAGAUGUCAGAAAUCUGUUCUUUCCUUGUAAAUGUUUUACAGCCGCCGCGAUGUCGGGUGCGACAAAGAUGAAUGCAACAUAUUGGGUAUGGAUUCGUCUUUUGGGGGUGACAUAACGAUCGUUAUUCUUUAGAUGUGUGGUCAGAUUCGAAUCUGAUAUUCAUUGCAAUGCCGAGAGGAGAUCUGUUUAGCCUUUUGUCAUCUGAGCUUUCAGCCACAUUCUUGGUGUCUUUCAUUAUGCAUCUAAUAUCUUUGAGUAGCGGUAUCUCAUCGACAUCCAGUCUAUGGUAGUCUCCCUCGGUCAUUGGCAAAGAUUUAGACUCGAGUCCAUAUUCAACAGUUGUUAUCUUAGGAAUAGCGGCCAUUAUGUCACCUGAAAGCCCUGUAAUAAGGAUGCUUACACGUUUAAGCUUAUCUUAGUAAAAUUACACAGGGAUCAACCUAAAUGAUAGGUUCUAGUCAUUAAAUGCAUCAGGGUAAUUUUGCUAUCUAGUCUCAAAGGUCUUUUCCAUGCUCAAUGAUCAUCCUCGAAAGGUUGAUAUGAGGUUUACAAGCAGCGUGAAGAUAGAGACCCUGAGUAAUAUUAAUUCGGCAUAUCGACCAUUGUCGAGCAAAUAAUCAUGCGAGAGUUGGAUAGUUUCGCGAGCCUUACCCAGGCUAAAGCCAUUGGGGUGUCAUUACUCCUCCAUUUAUCAUAAAGUUGAUACCACACGUAUUUUGAAAAUGAGAUGAGUGAUGUAUGAAGGCCUUAGAUCCAUGUCCAAUAUACAUGCAUGAUAAACAUGAAUAACUAUGCAUGCUAAAACAGUAAAAAGAGCAAAAAAUAAAACUCGAUAAACACAAACAACACAACAACAAAAACACGGUACGACAUAUAUUUUUAGCAAUAAAAAAAAAGGAGCAAAGCUUAGUCCUAAUAAGUCUCCAGUGGAGUCGUCAUUCUGUCACACACGGACAUCGCGACGACUAAUUAAAAAUUCUCUCUCGAUUGGAAAAGGAACAGAUAUUUGGCAUCUUGUUCUUUGAGGAAAACGGUCUUGUUCAAGGAGUCGCCACCUAGUAUUAUGGUUACUAGGAACCCUAACUAAUCAACAGAGAUUCUAUGGUACAAGAUUGGUUACGUGAAAGGGAAGAUACUAUCAUCCCUUAAGCGUCCUACCUGAGGCAAGCUGCAUUGAUGGUUGUCUUAAAUUGCUAAAAGUUUGUCUUCGUUCCAUUUUUAAGGUCAUCCUAUAAUAUUCCUGACUCUGACAUCAGUGAAUAUUGCGCAAUCCACAAAGUACAAUAUUCCUGACUCUGGUACCGGUGAAUAAAUCCGCAAAAUUCUGUAUUAAAAGAAAUGGAAACUAUUUUUUUUGUUUUCCUUUUUUUAUCAUUUUUUUUACUUAUAUAGCCCGGUCUCAAAACUUAUAAAACAAAACAAAAGGGGUUGGGUCACUAGUCUAAACUAGUGACCCGGCUGGCCAGUGUUGCAUGCAUGCAUGAACAAUUCACGCAUGUAAGCAACAGUAACAUGCUAAUUAAUUUUAGAAAAACAGGGAAAGAAGGAGGACUCACCUGGUGUUGCUGUGACCGGAGGCGAAGCUGAGGGAGACGGUCAGACACUGCUCACGGUUGAAGACCCGGUCUGUGCUAUUUGUUGUUGUUGCACUGCGAUGCUGGUGUUGCUCAAGUGCUGGGCCGAAAGGAAGGCUGUUGCUGGACAUGCGGGGCGCCGCAGCGGAUGCUGGUGGCUGCUGCUUUAGGAGAAGAGGAGAGGGCAGAAGGGUUCCCUCUGCUGUUGCUGCUGCUGCUGCUGGCUUGUGUUUGCUCCCGGUUGCUGGAGCUGUUGAUGGUGCUGUGAUGUUUGCUGGAUGUUGGUCACGGUGCAUGUAGAUGGUUGAGCUGCUGCUAAUCUUAACGCUCUGGAAGGAGAAGGUUGCUGCUGGAUCUGCCACUGCAGCUAGGGAAAGGUGUGGCUGAGGAGCACCCUCCGUCGCUGCUUCAAUGAAAAAGAAAGACUGGAGUUCUCUAAAGAAAAGGGACUCAAGUUCUCUGCCAACCGGAUGUUGCUGAUGGAAGCUGCUGAAACAAGUCUCUUGCUUGGCUGGUUUGAAACCUAUGGUUGGGUUGACAGAGGCUAUUGUUCUUCUCCUAUGCAGGUAGCGGCUGAGAGGAAGACAAUCCAGCUUGUGUGGGUGAUACCGGUUGACAGUCUGCUGUCAUUGCCGGACUGUGGGUAGAAAGAGGAGAUGAAGGCGUCUCCUACAACCGGAGGAAAGCUUGUGUGGUGGCUUCUGGAGGUUGAUGGGGAUGAAGGCGUGAAGCCGAUGGAGACAAAAACAUCCUACAAAUCAUCAUCUUACAAAUAAAAACUCAUAAUUACAACAUGCUUUAAGGCUUAAUCCAUGUAGCAUUGAUCUUUAAGAUCCAUUAUAAAGCCACGUUUUCUGCCCUGCUAGUAAACAUAAAUUCCAAUUCAAAAAAGGUGAAACUUUACUUCUCCAAAUACACAUUUAUAGAUCAAACAUAGUUGUACCUAAAGACUAGGGAGAAAAAUAGCGGGCUUGCUCUAUGUCUGUUCUUCAAGGCCGGGGAAGAAAAGGAGAAGAAAGAAAGGAAGGGGGGGGGCAGCUAGUAUCGGGUUCGCCGCCCCCUCCUCUUUUCUUUUGUUUCUCUUCUUCAGGGUUUUUUGUAAUGGCCUCCUCCUGGGGUUUUUUUUUUGUUUGUCCCCUCUAGGGUUUUCUGUGUUUUUUUCUAAAAACCCCCCCGUUUUUGCAUGCAUUGAGAUCUAUAUUUAUAGUGCGAGAGUCUCAUCGCGUGUGGAAAAUAAAGUUUCAAUCAAACUCAUUCUCUUCUUUGAAUUUUGAAUUUGAUUAAAAACCAAAUUCGAAAGCGGAUAGCUAUCAUUAUCUUGAAGAUAAGGAUAAAAUGAAAAAAGUACAUUAUAAUCCCUAGUUUUCGCGCAAGCUGGCAAAUCAUACUUUUCAUCCAAACAAAUCUCUGAUCUUUUAAUCUUACAUUUUAAACCUUGUAAAAUUAAAUUAAAAACCAAUGGGCCAAAAUUAGGUUACAACAAGGGAGAAGCAAUCGGUGGAGAGGAAAAAGUGUGGUGGAGAGGAUGGUGAUCAAGCCGGCGAUGACAGUAGUGGUGGCCGAAGGUGUUGGUGGUUGGGUUGCUGUGGUGCAGGAAGAAGUUUGCAACGGUGUCACUGUUCACUUUCAAGGGAGAUAACGAUCUCUGAGGGAGGAGCUGGUGUUCGUAGGGGUGUAUAGGCCGGGGUUGUUGGUAUUCUAGUCUGAGAAGGCAGUUGUGGAAGAGGUGGAUAGAGUCGUAGAAGGCUGACGGGGAGAGAAGAAUAAUGGAAAUAGGGGGAUGGCUAGGUUUUUUUUUUAAUUUUUGGACCCGAUUUUCUUCAUGCUCAGACCCUAAAAUCCACCCAUAUUUAUAGGGGUUGGAAAAGGGUAAUCUUGUCUUCACUGGGGAAAAAUUUCAGCCUUGAUCCUGGUGGGAAAAAUCUCAACUGUUGGUUCAAAGUAGACACCAAAUCUGACAGUUCAUGGCUGUCUGAGUUAGCCUCUUUAGGCUGCUGACACGUCCUCUAUGUUGCCAGUGAGCCGGUGAGGACCAUACCGAGGCGUGGAGGGAUGUCAAGUGAUUAGUUUUGUGCACAUUUUGUCAAAUUUGAUGAAGGUUGGAUGCAUUAAAUACUCCUGUAAAGUAGGUAACCAAAGCAGAUUUUCGAUGGAAAAACUUCAAAAAGAUAAACAGUAACAUUAAAACGGCGUCGUUUUGACUUUUUUCAAUUUGGUCCUUUGAUUUCUGUUUUAUCUUGUAAUGCCUGACGAUUUUGUAAGCAUUUAUAAUUAAUUCCUAUGAUUUGGUGCUUAAAAAUUUGGGCAAUUUUUUUUGUGUGUGUGUUGGUUUAACGGUCAACGGAUCCAUCCCAGAAACUGUCAAAUUAUCACUGUUUUACCAAAGUUUUGGCAGAGUUCCUUUUCUUAUUUUGACGUCUCAAGUGUUGACAUUAAUCAUCGAAUACACAUUAACCCUUCAUAAUCAUCUUUUCAUACAACACCCGUCGUAGCAAUUCCCGAUCCAAUUAUCCUAGAUCGUAAUUUCAUCGCACUAAUUAUUCUUUCUAUUGUAUCUCAUCAAUCAUCACACAUAAUUAAUUAGUCACAUUUGCAUGAUUAAUAUUUAUGGAUAAGAAGUACAGUAAAGAUUAACUACGGAAAGGUCUUUCUUGAUGAAUACAUACACAAAUUAAAUUAAGUACAUUGUCUUUAUAAAACAGGUAUAAUAUACAUGACAUGCAUUGUAAAUUCCAUUUAUUUUUACAAGUUUCUACAUGUAACGAAUUAUUGCUAUUACUACUAUCAAUUAUCUUAUAUUACAUAAUUUUAGUAAAAGUAAUGUCCUGGAAGAUUAUUAGGCAUCUUAGGUGCGAGAAGGUCCUGUUACAACAUUAAUUUAUAUGAGCAUACAAAACACAAGAAAUAAGAUCUAAAUUUUUAAAGCCAUGCAUAUAAUUAACAUAUAUCCAAAUCCUCAUAUUCUAUAGGAAAUCAUUAAUUUUCCAAAACAAAUUUCUAGUGAUCAUCGUAAAUCAUUUUAGACAUUCUUAAUUUUUUGUAAUUGGAUACUCAUUUAUAUCAGUUAAACUCUUUGCCUGGAGUUGACUACUUAAUUUAGACCCGGUCAUUUCAACAUGGGUAUUAUUAUUAGUCAAACUAAUCUCAUCAAUUAUUCCCUGUCAUCCCAACACGAAUGUAAAGCUACUCUUCACAAAUGUAAAGCUACUCUUAUGAAUCAUUCCUGGUCAUCCUAACACGAAUAUAAUUAGCCGAGGUUAAUCUUAUCAAUCAUUCCCAGUCAUCCGAAUUUAGAUACCAUUAGCCGAAACUAAUUUUAUCAAUCAUUAUCGAUCAUCCUAACACAAAUAUAAUUAGUUGAGGCUAAUCUUAUCAAUCAUUCCCGGUCAUCCUAAUUUGAAUGUCAUUAGCCAAAGCUAAUCUUAUCAAUCAUUCCCGGUCACCAUUAGUCGAAGCUAAUCUUAUCAAUCAUUCUCGGUCAUCCCAACUCGAAUGUCAUUAGCCGAAGCUAAUAUUAUUAAUCAUUCCUAUGGAAAUAGUUUUUGUUUUUAUUUUUAUUUUUAUUUUUUUCCCUGCCCAUAGGCAAUAUUUUCACGAUAAUAUUUUUCCUGCUCGUAGGCAACGUUCUCGAAAUAAUAAUAUUCUCCUUUUUUUUCUACGAUCCUAUGUUUAUGCGGGAGUUUACAUAUCUCAUCUACACCCCUGAUUGGCUUCAAACUUUAAAUUUUGUGCAAUUUUGCCCCCGGACAAACUUCAACAGAAGCCCCGUAUUUGCACGCUUUUUUUUAAUGUGAUCCUUGAUCUCGGAUUUAUGCGAUUUGGCCCCUAAUUGACCAUCAAACUUUAAAUUUCUUCAAUUUCACCCCAAGGUUUUGUCAAUUAAGCCCCUAUAGUUCGACGUCUUUUCGGAUUGGUCAUUGGCUAUGAAAUUCUUCAAUUUGACCCCUAAUUGACCCCAAAACUUUGAUUUUCUUCCGAUUUUGCCCCUGAUUUGAAUCAAUUAACUUGGUAAAAAUUAAAUUUGGUCUCUUAAAAUUUCAAUCUUCUCAAUUAAGCCCAAAUUGGGCUCCCAAACUUAAUUUUUCACCAAUUAAACCCCAAAUAAAAUUAAUUUUACCCAUUUAAAGUAUAAUUAAGUCCUUGCACUUAAUUAAAUCUUUCAAUUGGACCCAAAUUAAUUCUUAAACAUAAUUAAAAUUCAAUUUGGUCCAUGAUUAAAUCAAAUUGGCCUAUUAAAAAUUUAAUUAUGUCAUUGGACUUAAUUUUUAUGCAAAUUCAUCCAAUAAUCAUUUAAUUUGACCUUGAAUUUGCAUUGUUUCUCCAUUUUUGGGCAUAAUAGGGUACAAUUAGGCUUUAAAUUUCCUCUAAAAUUGCAGUUGUAUUCCCUGACCUGCUUUCUCCACAUUGAUAGUCUUUAUUUAUUUAUUUAUUUAAAAAAAAUGAAUUUUAGGGAAUAACCUAGAAUUGGGUUAUGAUAAUUGUAUAGCCAAACUCAUUGUCAUUGUGGAUUGGAACAGUGAAAUGUUGAUAUUACCUUUAUUGAUAAAGCACAAAUUGCCUUGGAAGAAGGAUAUAGUAGUCUUUUUAUUUUUAUUUUCAUAGUAAAAUGACCAAUAUGCCCUUUUGAAUAAAAAUAAUAAUGGACUAGUGGAGAGGGGCACUUCCAAGUAUUUCUUUUCACGUGGACAGUGAAAAGACUGAAGUGUCCUUGCAUUGAAAUUGUCAUUGCCCUUGGUAAGGGGCUUAUUUUGUCUUUUCUUCUUGGUUUCUUUAUAAUUACCAAGUCUGAUCAAAGGCACUUUAAUAUUUAGGCAUAUAUCAUAUUAAUUUAUUUAAAAAAGACGGUUGUAAAUACAAUUCAUACGGUCACAUGUUAGUGUUUCUGCUCUACUUGGACGACAUAUGAGGCGUCAUUCAGCAGCCAAAUUCUAGCUUCCAUGAUUGUGUUUUAAUCCUAGCCACGUUGCCUCCAUUCCUAGACGGUACGUGUGGUAAAAAAAUAUCAAAUCUUGCAUAGAUGGCCAUUUCUUUUUUUUCUUCCUUCUUUUCCCUCUCCUCCUCAGUUUCAAAGACUUCCCCUGCACAUCUUCAAAACAACCCUUCAAUUUAUUUUUAUUUUACAUUUGGUCAAUCUUCUUUUUAUUGUUAUUAUUCUUUUAUUUUAGAUUAUCCAUGGAAUUAGAAUUUUCUUUCAAUUUAAUUCUCCUUUGGUUUUUUCACCAUUUAAAUUUGGUCCCUAUUAUUUUGAUUUUUUAAUUUUUAAUUAUUCUCUUAACUAAAUUAUCUUUUCAAUUGUAUCCCUCAAUAUUUUAUAUCAUUCUCUUAAUUUGAUAUUUUUUUUUAAUUGCUUCCCUAAAUAUUUUAAUUCAUUCUCUUAAUUGAAUUGUUUUUCCAGUUGUAUCUCUCAAUAUUUUAGUUCAUUUUGUUUUAUAUUAGAUUUGAUUCUUAUUCUUUUUAUUGCUAUUUUUUAAAAAAAAUUUUUAUUUGAACUUUCUUUUGACUUCAUACCUCAUCAUUUUAUUGAUCGGGACUUUAUUAACCUCUCGUUUUAUGAGUUAAAGAGAUUUAACCAGGUUGCCUUGAAUUUUUUUUCCAUGUCCUUUUUUACAAUGGAUUUUUACCGGUACCGUCUUUCUAUAGGGGUAUUCCUGUCUCAUGUAGGAGGUCACGGGUUUCGCAUGUUAGCUCAACUUUAUACGGGGCAAUUAUUUUUAAUUUAUUUGUUGUUGUUACCUGAUUUUUUAUCAUAUUAUAAAAUUAAUUAUGGUUUAACCUUAUUAUCUUUUUUUUCUUACUUUUUUAAAAACACAACUGCCUCCUUAACUCUUUUUUUUCAAGUUGAAAAAUAGGUUUGGUAAGGCUCGUGGUGUCGCGCAAACCACCAAUCUAGUGUAUUCUAAAGGCAUAGGAAAUUCAUACCUUAUAUAUAUUCAAUUGAAAAAUCACAUUCUCUCUCGAUUUAUGAAUAUUAAUAAAUGAAAAAUAAAAAAAAAGCUUUCAUGUUAUAUAAAGAAGAAGAAAAAAACCGACAUUUAAUUACAUAAAAGUAAAAGAAAUGCAUGUGUUUGUUAGAUGGUUCAUGGAAAACGUUCCAUGAUGAGUGUAUUUGUUUUUGCUAUUAAAAAAUAUUUUUAAAAAUUUCUGAAUUUAUUUUUUUUAAAGAAUUGGAUUGAAUUGAUAUAUUAAUUUUAAAAUUAAAUAAAAAAAUAUUAUUUUAAUAUAUUUUUAAAUAAAAAAUAAUUUAUCAAAUAUCAAUAAAAUGCUCCUAGGCUGCAAACAAUGAGGAAACAAUUGAAUUGACAAUGAUUAUUGUCCAACCAGUUUGCCACCUGUAAGCAAUUAGUGGACAACAUCAAAAUCAGAGUCAUGUGAAGACCUAAGUCUUCACAAAAAAGCCAGUCAAUGGAAAAAAGCUAGCCUUUCACUCCAUAUCCAGAGUUUGAAGCCUUCUUAGCAGUGACGUUUAUUUAGUGCUCUUCAAACUCUGUAACAGAAGGGUACAGACAGAAAGAGAUGAGGCCUAACGUAAGUAUUGAAUUCCUCUGGUGGCUCUCUUUAACUAUCCUGUUGGUUUCUGUGAUCACAUCUACUUCUACAGCUGCCUUUCUUGAAAGCAACUUGAGUCCCAUUUUCAAUGCCACAAUCGGUGAAGGUAAUGAAGAGGAGUUCUCUAUGGAAUCUGAAGUGCAUCAGAGACUACUGGCCUCUCAGGGUAACUAUAUUAAAUAUAGGAGUCUAGAACGACAACCAGUUUGCAAUGCACAAAUAUAUGGCAACUGUGCAAAACCGGCCAAUGGUAACUCUAGGCCUUGCACUUACUACAAUCGGUGCAAACAUAGUAGUUGAUCGGGGAAGAGGGGACAAAGGGGUCAGUUCUUUAUCUGUCUGUGUGGAUUUCGAUUUGAAUAGCCACCCAUAAAGCGCAAGGUGAACCAGUCCGUCUAUGUGAGCUCCACCAAGAUGGGUGGAUCAGUUUGCUCUCCGUGUAGGGUGACUGUCUGAACCCUUCUUCUUUCUUUUUACACAUGAUUCCGAUGAGUAUAACAAUAAAAUUUGUAUGUACUUUAUGAUGAUUUAUAAUUGAAGAAAAUAGCAAGCAAUUGCUAUGUUGAUACGAUAUCUAGUGAUUGUCUUUCUCGUGCACUAAUUAAUGGCGAAGCUUCCUCAUUAAUCUAUUGCAAGCUAUGAAGUUGAAAAAAAGAUCUUGGAAUGUUCACAGGUUUGCUUAAGGUGUCCUGUUUGUACAAGAUAAGAACAUCUGCUAGACCUGUUCAUUGUAGAGGACUUGGAUUUUCCUUAGGAUUGAAGUGAUUUCAGCAUGAUGUUUUCAACAAUGAAACUCAAUCUCGUUUCAUUUAUUAUUCCAAUUAUUUUUCAUCCACCGAGAACUCCAUUCAGUUUCCCCUCAUGUAUGGAAAUCAAGCUUAAAAGGAUGAGAGAGAACAAAUUGCCAUCUCCAGGGAAGAGAGGACAGCUUGCCUCUUCUUUACUAGUGCUAUUGAUUUCAUUCGGCACCAAGUAUGUCGAGAGGUAAAUCCAUUAGUCUUAGAUUAAUGGGAAGAAAGAUUUCUCAU
Molecule: long non-coding RNA, 60068 nt
Filed under: Populus trichocarpa (black cottonwood)
Lineage: Eukaryota; Viridiplantae; Streptophyta; Magnoliopsida; Malpighiales; Salicaceae
Description: long non-coding RNA (PTRI_LNC003852)
Source: RNAcentral